CCGAUGAUGGAAGUGAUUCAAGAGAUGAUGAUUCAGACGAUGAUCGUGGGUAUAAUAGCAGAAAGCCUUCUGUCUCUCAAGUUCCUUUAAAGAAACGAAUAGAUUCUUCAGAACAUGAUGAUGAACACAGCAGCAGCCGUGAAGAUGAUGAAGAUGAUGAUGAUGAUAGAUACGAUCGCGAAAGAGACAGUGAUGAUGACUCAGUUGGAAGCGAUCUUUACAAAGGCGAAGAAGACAGACAAAAACUCGCAAAAAUGUCAGAACUCGAACGAGAACAGAUCCUCGCUGAACGCGCCAAUAAAAAAAACGAUAAAGACUUGAAGAACAGAAUCAAGAAACAAACGGAGAAAUCCAAUCAGAGAAAAGACAGCCCCCCAACUCACACGGUCAACCGGGCAGUCCGGUCAUCUGCCCGGUCAGCCGACCGGGCAGCUGCAAAAGACGGCGCAUUGAACGAACUCCGUGCCCGGAAAAGACUCCGCCAGCAGGAUCCGGAAUCUAACUGGAAACGAAGAGACACAGAGUCUACAGUCAAACGAAAGACCUUCACUCCAGCUCCUUUAAGCAACUCGAGCCGUAGUGACAGCGGGUCCCACAGUGAAGAUGAAGACUCAACGGGCGAAAUGGGCGAUAGUGAUGACGAGAAAAUGUCAAAAGAGUCCUCGAUUCUUAAAUACGAAGAUGUGAAGGGAAUCACAAUCCGAAGGUCAAAACUGGCAAAAUGGUUCAUGGAGCCGUUUUUUGAGGAGUUAAUCGUCGGUUGUUUCGUGAGGGUCGGAAUCGGAAAGUCCAAAUCCGGUCCGAUUUACCGCCUUUGCAUCGUUAGAAACGUGGAUGCCGCCGAUCCCGAUAAACAAUACAAAUUAGAAAAUAAAAUGACUCAUAAAUACUUAAAUGUCGUUUGGGGAAAUGAAAACUCAGCCGCCAGGUGGCAGAUGGCGAUGAUUUCGGAUUCCCCGCCUUUGAAAGAAGAGUUUGACCAGUUGAUCCGGGAGGUUGACCGCCACGGUGGACGGAUGCCUAGCAAACAGGAGGUGUUGGAAAAGCGGGAAGCCAUUGAAAAAACCAACACUUUUGUAUACUCUGCUGAAACAGUCAAACAAAUGUUACAGGAGAAAAAGUCAACGAUAAGAAGACCGUUGAAUGUUGCAGCUGAAAAGGAUCGAUUAAGGAGAGACAUAGAAGUGGCUAAAGCGAAGCAGGAUUAUGCGGAAGUUGAAAAGAUUGAAGCAAAGCUUCUAGAACUAGAAGCUUCCAGACAGACACAACAAAAGGAUAAAAAAGCAAUAAGACUCGCGGAAAUGAAUAGAAAAAAUCGAGUUGAGAAUUUUAAAAAUGCUUCUGAGGUGAAGCCGGUGGCUACGGGUUUAAAAGCGGGUGAAGCGGGAUACGAUCCGUUUUCGAGGCGGUGGACCCGGUCGAGGAAUUACUAUGUUCCGAAGCCUGGUGAGGGGGCGGGUGAAGGGAAUGGUGGGCAGGCGGCGGAGGCGGUGGUGGGUGGUGGUGUGGUGGCGACGGUGGCGGCAUUGGAGGCGGCGGCGGAUGCUGGGAAGUUGGUGGAUACGAGUGCGCCGGUGGAUCAGGGGACGGAGUCGAAUAUGUUGCAUGAUUUUGAGCUUCCAAUUUCUUUGACUAUGCUUCAGAAGUUUGGUGGACCCCAUGGGGUACAAGCGGGGUUUAUGGCACGGAAACAGAGGAUAGAGGCGACGGUUGGGUGCCAGGUGCCAGAGAAUGAUGGGAGGAGGCAUGCGUUGACACUGUCUGUUAGUGAUUACAAGAGACGGAGAGGUCUCCUUUGAUAUGGUAGUAAAAUGGUUUAUGUUCAAAAAAUUUAAGCUUUCUUUCGGAUAUGAACUUGAAUUAUGCUAUUGCUAUGGUUGUGUUGUUUUUCUUUGGGCUAAUUGCAAAAAAUAGCAACGUACUUUCAUUUAUUUGUAAUCUGAAAAAUCUACCAAAUUCUAGCAUUGUUUUUCCCAAAGUUUUUUAGGACAUUGUACUUUGAAAAUUCUACCAAAUUAUAGUUCAUGAUAUUUGUACUUUGACACAUCAUUUUGUUUCUGAUUAUGAUCAUGUACCUCUUUUUGUUAGUUUGGGUGGUAUUUGGUACAUAAUUGCUAUUUGCAUCAGCCAUCAAGCUUUUUUUUUUUUUUUGGCAACUGAUGGUUUAUAUGAACUUGAAUAUAUACUUUGGUUUUUGGAUGACAUUCUUAGAUAGAAUGUUCAAAGUAUAAUAAUGUUGUAAGGAUUAAAAUAGGCCAAACCGAAAAUAGAAUUGGAACCUGUUUGUUUCUAAAACAGAAAGGAUUUAUAAAUUAAAAAUAAGUCCUAGUCGUAUGACCAAAAUUCAUCAUCGAAAUUAUCCGGUUCAAUAAAAUCAAGUCUUGGGUAUCAAAAAAAAAAAUAACAAAACUGGAAUACACUGAAAAGCUAGCAACCACUUUAACUUCCUAAAUUCCCUCCAUAAACACCAAAAAUGGCUCUGUCAUCUCUUUUAUACAUUCUUCUUCAUGGUAGAUCCAUUACAACCAUUAUUAAUCCACCUUCCACCUCCACCUCCACCUCCACCCGCAUAACCCCUAAGCUUCUCCAAAAUCCGCCUCUCACUAACCCGCAACACCAACGAAUGAUACAACUUUUUCUCCAAAACAUUAUUACAACACUUCCUCAAUGCUUCAACAUCAUCUUCCAUUGAUCUCAACCCAUAACACCUUUCCCUAAUAUCCACCACUGACAACAACCCACGUCGCACAUUCUCAGUCAACAAAACGUCCUUAUUCGUUUCACUCACCUCACCCAAUACAAUCCUUGACUUACCAAAUUUCUGACCAUUUGAAACCCCGUGAUAUAAGUCGUUGUACUCUUUUUCAGGUAGUAAGAUUAUGAAUAUCAAUUUAAGCAACUCGAGUUCUGGUUCACCUUCGUAAGAUAUUUCAAAAUACUCGAUUUGCUGGUUUUGGGAUUCAGGAUGAUGUAAAUGUAAUAAUGAUUUCCAAAAUGAAAGACGAGUUCUUGUGUGACGAGAUGAAAAUAGAGAUGAACUCCAUUGGAGGACUAUGUCUAGAUCUAUGUUUAUGAUGUCGUAUGGGUUAUCUGGUUCGGUGAAUCCGUAUCUGUGGAGCAAUGCAGCAUUACCCAUUGAUCCGUAUGUGUUGAACACCUGAAAAUGAAUUCGGUUUGUUUGGUUAGAUGGAAUGUAAUGGAAUAAGGAAAACAAGGGAAUGAAUUAUUACAUAAUGUUCUAUGUCACAAGUAUGAGAAAGAUGCUAACCUCUGCUCCAGCUUUAACAUCCCUCACCAUAAUCAUUUCCAAAAUUUCAGUGGUUGGUGAAACACCAUCAUCAUCACCAUUAAAAUCACUUUUUGGUGAGGCGACAUUUGAUUCAUUUUGAGGAUCUCCAUCCCUAUCAUCAUCAUCAUCAUCAACAACCUGCUCCUCUAUGUUUUCAGAAGUAUCAUCAUCAGAUACAGAGGUGAAGUGUACAUCCUCAGCAUUCGUUUUGUGAUUGAAUCUGAAGCAUCAUGAAGAAAAUAAGAACAGAGAACUAUCAAACGAAAGCCCACAAAAAGAGAUUCAAUAUAACUUACAGGUCCGCCAGAGGAACCAUCCCAAAUCCGUAAUGAUCAUCUAUCUGAAAUGAACGUGAAGAGAUCAAACUUUUUGCAGCAAAGUACUGUUCAACACCAAAAUCUUCUGGAUUUAGUUCUAUAGGAGCCGAUUCCACAAAAGGUACAAUACAUGCUUUCCAAUCAUCGUAUACAAGAGCUUUAUCUUCUUUAACUGUCUGUCUACACAUACCCCACAGUGAUCAAAGGUUAGUCUAAUCAUCUAAACUCGAUCAAAAUUUGAGGCAUCAAUCAUCUAGAAUUGGAGAGUAAAGCCUAAAACCUAAAACCUAACCUUAUGAAGCUCUGUGCCCAUUAGGAGGUGAUCAAUUUCAUCAAGAGACCAAAGCAAGGGUACGUCGGGGUUGCAGUCUGGCAUGAGGUGGAGAUAAUCAUACCAAGGGGAGUUUUGGCCCAAGCUUUUCUCGAACAUUAGAGCUACGGAAAGUGCCAUAUAACCUUCGAGACAGAAAUCUUCGAUGAGGUGACAGACGGCGGAGGAUUUGACAGUGAGGCAACUGCGCUUGGGGAUGGUGGCGAUGAGGUCUCCUUCGUGUAAAUCACACAAUGCCUUCACCGACACUUGUUGGUCUUCUUGUUGAAUUAUGAGGUCGAGUGCGUCGCUGUAUUCUACUGAUUGAUAUUUCAUCCACCGCUUGAAUGCUCUCAUUCGCCGGCUACUGGCCAUCGCCGGAGGCGUGGUGGUGGUCGUUUAGGCCGUUUUAGUUAGUGAUGUAGCCAUGUAGGUUUAGAAAGUAAGUGGGCUCUUUACUCUUAAGUCUUAGCAUGCAACUUCUAAACUCUACUAUUUUGGCCCAUUUCUAAUUCAUCCAGUUAAACCUGUUUGGGCCCAUUAACUUUCUCUCCAAAAUAUGUAAAUAUCACCUUUUGUAUUCAGUUCCCUGUAUUAUGUUUAAUAUUUACGUAAGUAAAAUACAAAAGCGUAAGCAAAUAGUUUUUGUCAACAAAGUUUCGAUGUCCGAUUGGUUGUCAAUAUUUGUGUAUAUAUCAAUAUCCAAAUCUAUAAGAUGGGAUAAAUGGAACAAUCUAUUUUGUAUGUUUGUCCUAACAGUAAGGAGAUAAGAAUAAAGAUGUAUAAAGUUAAAACAUGGAUAUUUUUCUUACUUUUUGUUUUGAGCACAUUGGUUGUGAGACCGGUUACACAAGAUGGACUUAUAGAUGUUAAGUUGGUUACCAUAAUGACUACAAGAUAACAUGAAUAACGAUACAAUAUCUUUCAUGUUUUUUUUCCACACGACCGCCUCCUUUUUCCUCCUACUGUUCUCUCCAGCCUCUUAGAAAUUUAGAUUUAAAAGUUUAGAGCCUCUUAAAAAUUAAAAUCUCUCAGAAUUCAAAUUCUAGCAAAUAACCACUAACACAUAAAAGUUUGAGAUCAUUUUUAAGUAAAAGAAUAUUAUAACAUCAAAUUCAUAGAUGAGUUUAAAAAUGGGAUUUGUAGUGGGGUUGGAGAUGCCCUCCUUGAGGCCAAUGUUUCUUUUUAUUUCAUUAAUAAAAUAUUGUCCGGAUAAAUGAUGUAUGUAUGAAAAAAAAUGUUGCUAUGAUUAAAGACUUUUUAGACCAAAUAAACCUAUGUUGGUAUUUUGACUUUUUUUUAAACCUACACCCAAAUAAUAGUAGAUGACCAUUUUACCCAUUUAAACAUAUAAACCCUCCAUUCUUUCGCUUUAUACAUCAAGUCUUUUUUUGUAUUAAGUCAACAAAAUUUAAGUCCAUUAGGUAAAAAAAAAAAUAAAAAUAAAAAAAAAUAAAAAAAUAAAAAAAAAAAACCAACUAUUAAUGCAUCACGUCAGCACAUUUUAUUUAACAAAGUCAUGAAUGCGUCUUCAAAGCCAUAAAAGUUUUGAUUUGAUAGCUCUUCACACAUAUAAAUGGCACUCUUUUCCCCCUUUUAACACUACAAGAUUUGUGUUAAAUCUAAAAUCCGCAUGGUGUAUUAUCCUUGCAAUAUUUUAUUUAUAAAACAAUGUCAAUACAUAAUCAAUAUCGUACGCAAUUGACCCAAUUUUAAAUCUCUAAUGUCCAGCCUACUAAUUCCCAGAAACAUAAAUUAUACAAAUGAAUUACCACACUUCUAAACACCAACUGUUCUAUGUUUUUAAUGCUUAUCAUAUAACUUCAGAAAAAUAAUUUUUUUUAAAUGAAUCUAAAAGUUAAAAAGUAGUCCAUUUGACUCCCAAAUGUCAACCAGGAAACUUCUAGUAGUUCAAAACCACUAAGUACUUGAUAGAAUAGUUGAGAGUUGACGAAAUUUAGGUUGCACUGUUAUAACCCCAAUCCUUGCCUCAUAUGAAUAAUACCUGUUGUCAAUAAAAAGGAUAUUAUGUUUUUUUUUUUUUACUUAUUUUUAUUAACUCCUAAAACUAUAUAAAAAGACAAAGAAAACACACCCUUUUUCAGUGAGAAAGCUUUUUAUUGCUAUUGGAAGUGCUGCUUGUCCUCGGCUAUGACUACCUUUCCCUUCACAAUCACAAGCAAAUUACAUCAAUCAUUGCUUUUUAACUUCCUUCCUAAUAAAAUUAUAAUAAAAAAUACGUAUUUUAUGUUUUAGCUCCCAAUACAUAACACAUAAAUUUAUGUUACUUACCUGUAAUGACUUCUAACAAUCUUCGCUUAGAUAAUUGUUGUUUAGGGUUUGUUGACAAAUGAGAUUCUAUCUUGAGUAAGUGUUGUUGUAAAACUUGCACUGCUUCUGAUGCAUGAAGACCAUGUAAAUCCAAUUUCCAAUCAUCAUUUUCAGAGUUUCUGAUUGCUAAAAUUUCAUUUGCUGCUUUUGCAUUAAGCUUUUCAGAAGCACUCCAUUCUUCUCUAGCCUUUAAGGAAAACUCAUGUGCAGUUGCAUGAUCUUUUCUUAGAUACGCCUCUUUAGCUGCUUUUGAGUAUCGAGAGGCUGACCUGGCGAUAUAAUUAUUUUAUUAUUUGUUUUAAUAAAUAGAUCAUCUCUCUUCGUUUUUUUUUUUAAUUAUUUUGCAUGAAUGUAUCUCAAAUAUAUAAAUUAUGCAAGUAAUUUUAUGUAACAAAAAUGAGAAAAAGAGACCAAAAAUGUAAUUUCCAAAAUUAAAAACUAUAGGGACGAAAAAUGUAAUUAAUCAAUUUCCUAAUUUUAGAAUUAAAAACUACACGGACCAAAUGUGUAAUUUCCUAAAUUAAAAACUACAGGGACAAAAACUGUAAUUAAUUCAUUUCCUUUUAGAAUUGAAAACUAUAGGGACCAAAAAUGUAGCUUCCUAAAUUAAAAACAACAAGGACCAAGCCUGUAAUUAAUCCAUUCCCUAAAUUAAAUACUACACGGACCAAACCUGUAAUUCAGGCAUAUCCUGACAGCUAAAAUGCAAUUAAAAGCUAUAGGAACCAAAAGUGUAAUUUCAUAAAUAAAAAACUAUAGGUACCAAACCUGUAAUUAAUCCAUUUCCUAAAUUAAAUACUACAGGGACCAAAACUGUAAUAAAUCCAUUUCCUUUUAGAACUAAAAACUAUAGGGACCAAAAGUGUAGUUUCCUAAAGAGUAAAUUACACGAGUGGUCCCUAUGGUUUGGGUAAUUUGCACGCUUGGUCCCUAACUUAAUUGUUUAACUCGGAAGGUCCCUACUAUUUGUUUUUGUUAAACACUUGGUCCCUAUUGUAUGUUUUUGUUACGCGUUUGGUCCCUAUCUUCCUUAAAAAGUCUAUUAUUUAAAUAGGGAAAAAUUGUGGGGUAGGUAAGGUAAGGUGAGGGGGUGAGGUUGGGAGUGUGUUUAUUUAAACAAAUUAAAAAAUCAAGGGCAAACUAGUCAUUUUAGGUAAGACGGGGACCAAGCGCGUAACAAAAAACAAACAGUAGGGACCUUCCGAGUUAAAAAAGUUAGGGACCAAACAUGCAAAUUACCCUAAACCAUAAGGACCAUUCGUGUAAUUUACUCUUUCCUAAAUUAAAAACUACAGGGGCCAAACCUGUAAUUACGAAAUUUCCUGACAAUUAAAAUGAAGUUAGAAACUAUAGGGACCAAAAGUGUAAUUUUCUAAAUUAAAAACUACAGUGACCAAACCUGUAAUUGAUCUAUUUCCUAAAAUGAAUACUACAGGGACCAAAACUGUAACUAAUCCAUUUCCUUUUAAAACUAAAAACUAUAGUGACCAAAAGUGUAAUUUCCUAAAUCAAAAACUACAGGGACCAAACCUAUAAUUAAGGCAUUUCCUGACAAUUAAAGAAAAGGGCAAUGAUAUGUCCAGAUGAAUGCUUAACCCAUUAAGUCAACAAAAAAAAAAUAGCCCCUAAGUAGAUACACAAUCGAAUAAGAAAGUAGAGCCUAAAAAAUAUAUCAUUUGAGUUUUAAAAAUAAAAAAAAAAAAAAAGUAAAGUAAAACAUAUUUUCAAAAGAUCCUAAACCCCUAAAAAAUUGUACAAAACCCUAAAGGGCUAAAGGCCUAAUUAUUGUAAGCAUACCUCAUAGCCUUGAUGGCUUCUUUCCGAUGCAUUAUGUACACGUCAUCAUCAUCUUCCCAUUCAGGUUCCACUGGAAUCAUACUCAAGCUAUCAAUAAUAAGCCUUAGGGCUACAUUAUCAUCAACAACCACCUUCCCAGACAAACCAUGUUCCUCAAUAUUCUCUUCUUCCUUCUUUUCCUGCAAACUACCAGGGGAAGUCAUCUCUUUCAGUAGAGACGAGGCUUUGUCAAUAUCAUUAUCUACAGCUGCCACUAUAUCCUCUAUCAACUUCUCAUCAGCCCAUGGAUGAAGCUCCUUGAGCUUCUCAUAAACAUGAGAGAUAUUGUUUUCUUUUGACUCGACAAUCACCCUUAAAUUGUGAUUAUUUUCCAUUAAACCACUUGGAACAUUUUGAAUAUCAUUAGAUAUCAUAUCUGGAAGACUUGACGAGUGAGUGAGAACAGAGGAGAAAGAUCUCCCAUUAAGAUCAAGAUUUCUUGAAUGAUUUUGACUUUGAUGAGAUGUAGGAAUAUUGGUUGAGAUGGGUGGGUAUGGGUCAUUGUGUAUUUCAUCAUUGUUGACUUGUUUUUGUUGCUUAUUAGGGUCGAAUGCAGCCCAUCCAGGAGUUUUGGCCCUCUUCCAAGACAUAUUCAUGUAGCUUUAACUUUCAAAAACACUCUCAUGUAUAUCAAUGCACUUCCUCUCCUGUUUGAGCUUGCAGAACAAAGUGGAAAACCUGGUGAAAUAAAUACCACAGAAAAGGAGAACAUAUGAGUGUGAUAAAGGAUAUCCGGAUUUGUGCAUCAUUACAGGAACACAAUUCAUAAGUAAUCACCAACAAUUUUAGCUUUUUGGCAAUUAAACAAAAAAAAAUUACUCGGUUCCUUAUCCGUUUCAAACAAGUCAACGCCGCAAAAACAGUAAUCAUCAACAAAUUACAUGCGUAAUUAUCAGCUUUCAAUAACAAUUUCAAUUACAACAGUAUACGCUUUAGGAAAACAAGAAAAAAAGAAUAAAAAAAUCAAAAGCUCCCAAACAUUUGGAAUUGAACAAACUUAUUGUGCAAAUAGAUAAACAGAUUGAAGGAGAUUUACCAAAUUAGGGCUCGUAAGUAGUUGGAAGUUGAUGUUCGUCGUCCGUGGGUUGUGGCCGUGAACCUGUGCCUCCCCACGUUCGGUCGUCGACUGCUUUCGCUUUGUUUCUUCUCAAUUUCUUUUGCGCGUUCGUUUGGGCCAUUAGGAUUUUACCCUUUUCGGUCUGCGGUUAUGGUGACGAUCACCUUCAACAAUAAAGUAUCAAACUAUCAAUAUCGUUCGCCCGCUGUCAAUCGGAACCAAUAUAAAUGGUAAAUAAUUGAAUAUGUUUGUUUACCUAAAACGAGUAUAUUUCAAUUUUUAGUAUAAACUUAUUUUUAUGUGGAUGAUAAUGGACUAGUUCGGUUUGGCAUUAAUUUGGUACUUUGAAUCAAAUUUUAGUCAACAUUUAUCAAUUUUUUUGAGGGCAGAUAAUGGUUUAACCGUUUAAUCAGGCCCGGUCCUGACAGACCGCCCAGGGCCCAUGGCUCUAAGGGGCCCAAAUUUUAUGGGCUAUGCAAUGUAUAUAUAUAAAUUUUAUUUAUGUAUACUUUACUAAGACGCCCAAAUUAACUCAAUUUGAAAUCUACCCAAAAAAUACAUAUUUUUUUAAACAACAGGCCUGGAAUGGUAUUCUUGGCAUAUAAACCAAGAAGAAAACAACAGGAAUUAGGGCACCAUCAGGCGGGAAGGCAAUCGACUCUUCCUGAAUGACGCCUCGUAAAUCUCGACAUCAUCACAUUUUUAAUAUCGCUUCUCCUUCUUACACACUCAAUCUCAAUGUCGGAUUUUCGUUUCUGAUUUCUCUAUUGAUCAAUUCGUUGAUUUUCUAUUGCUUAUACCGAGUUAGAGUCUGAUUCUCUCAUGCUGAACUGCUGAUUUCGCCUACCUUAUGUGUUAAAAUGAUGAUUUUAUCUUUCCUUUUGUGCUUAACUCUGAAAUCUGAAGUGAAUAGCAAAUACCAAUUAAGGUUUGUGUGACAACCGUCAAUUUCCAGUCAAAUCAAAGUCAACAAGUCAAACCGGUCAACUUAUCUAACCCUUGUAUACUAGGGUUUUCAUUAUGUUUCUUAUUAAACAACUCGCACUCUUAAUACAAAGUAUCACUUAGAGUUUUCACGUGUUUGGAAACUCUAAACCCUAAUCAGGGCAAGUGAUGAAACUACUCGAUAAAACGUUAUUCCUUAACCCUCGGGGGCAUAUGACAGUCAUAACAAGACUUAACGAGGUUUACGAACCUUGAAAUACAGAGCCAAACACUUAAAAAGGUCUCAAAAGAAGUCUCUCUCAACCUCUUUCACUCUAUCUCUCCAAAAAUGUGGAAUCACUCCCAAAUCCCUCUCUGUAUGAGAAAUCUCUCCAUGUAUGUCAAAUCUCUCACAAAUCUCUCUCAAAACCUCUUUUGAGUUUUUAUAAUCAUUUAGGGUAUCCCGACACUUGACUUGGUGAAAAACCACUUGAAAAGGGGUGAUCCCUUGGAAAAUAACAUUUUAGGGCCGAAGCCCCUCUAUAAGGACCAAACUCUUCUCAAGACCGAGGUCCCCUUGUCUAGCCGCAGCCAGCGAGCCGCAACCUCUGAACCGCAGUCAUCAAACCUGAGCACCGUAGCCACCUUCGCUUCGGACCCUUUGACGAGCCGCUUGCGGUACCUCCUCGGACUGCAGCCCCUUCCCCUUCGGACCUAGUUCAACGACUUCGGACCUAAGGCUGCUAAGACCGGAAUCACCCUCCUGACUUCGGAUUUCUCCAUUUUUCACCCGGUUUUCGACCACGACUCCGUUUUAAGCCCGUUUUUAAUUAUUUUAACGGGGGAUUUUCACCCAAACUUAUAUUUUUACAUAUAAGGUCCCAUAUAUUCAUAAAUUCAGCAUAUUUUUAAGGAAAUCGUUAUUUAAGAAUAAAAUCCAUAAAGUAAGAUCAUGUGGUGAAGUGUUGACUUUGCCAUGGUGUUAGACACAAGCAACCACCCCCAUACUCACUCCAUGACUAACUCACACCCCUCCCCACCAUACCUGGUCAUUCAGGAGUACUUUUCCCACUCAUACUCACGUCCUAAGAGCUAGACAACCCCUCUCUCUCCUCACUCUCCCUUCAUUCUCUCAUUUCUCCACCAAAGAUCAAACACAUCUUUUCUCUCAAAUUCUCUCUCAUAAUUUCAAGAUUUCCAAGGCAUUUUUCAAGCUUUCCUCCUACAUUUGAUUCUUGAAUCUUCAAGCAAUCCUCCAAGUGUUCUUGAGUUGAACACUUCUCUCCUUCAACAUUUACCCACUGAAAUCAUAUAAUGUGAGUUCAUACCCCUAUCUUUCCAUGUUUUCUUANAUUUUUUUUAUUUUUGUGGGGGGGGGGGGGAAUACAAGUUAAAACACCAAGAACACAACUAAACUUUUCCAAUAGCUUUCAUCAAGAAAGUUUAACUCCAUUCACGGACUGUUUUGGUCAACUUAAACAUUUUAGUUUUCAAAACUGUAUUAGAUGCAAAUAGUUUAGGUUUAUACCUUUAAAAUGACUACUUUCACAUCUCCAUACGAUUUUUCUACGAUUUAUGGUGAUUUUUACAAAACAGCCUAUCAUUUUAAAAACAAAUCCAGACCAGUCUGUGAAUAUGGACAUUUUAAGACAAGUUAAAGACUUCCAAAAAUCAUAAUAAAAAUUAUGGAUAAACUAGACACAUUUUAUGAACUCUCAGAAUUUACGGAUUUAGUUUUCGACUCCGUAUGAUUUUUCUAAAACGGUGCAGAAAGGUUAAAAAUUAGUUAACAGCUUAUAAUUUUCAUAACACUUUGUAUUAUGUUGAGCAAAGUGUAUAACAAUAAGUACUAAAUAUUGAAUGUGUUUCCUUGUUAGUUUAUCAUCAUAAACUGAAAUUUAGUCAUUCAUGAUAAGUUUCUUCAUUCAUUUAGAACACAUAUAAUAAGCUAUAAUAAGCAUAGUUUAUGGAUUCAUAGCACUAAUGCAUUUUCAUAAAAGAGUUCUUUUACAUUACAAACGUUUUGGAUAAACUAUAAUAGGUAUGGUUUAUGUAUCAUUUACAUUUCAAACUUAUUUACCAAAUUUUUCGGUUUAGUUCACGUAAAUCUGUUAGUGAAUAAAUUUGUGAGUCAUUCCCUUCGUGUUACCUUCAUGGUAACAAAAUCAAAAGUCCUAUAAAUUAUAACCAGAGUCUCUUGUAGGGAGAGCGUGAUGGUUGUGUAUAGAUCUAUAUUAGGUCUGACAAGCCCGCACAGGAGCUGCUUGCAACAGCUAGACCGGCAGGUCUGAGGUGACAAGUGUCAUUUAACGGGCGACGCCUGAAGAACGUCGUAUUACGAGGCCGUCUGAGUCUUAGCAUGGUUAUAAUAGCUCACAUGUGGUAUUAACAAAUCAUAAGAUUUACAGGUUCUACUUUUAUAUGAGCGAGUUAUAUCAAUUUAACUCACAGGAAUUACUUUAAGUAUGGAAAAAUAUUUGUACACUUUUGUAUCAAAAAGGGUUUUAUGCCGAUUUAAAAUCACUUUUAUAUCUUUGAGUAUGGAAAAUACUUGUUUAAUUUCGGUCCUGGGAUUUAGGACUACCUAACUUUUAUAAGGAAAAUAUUGGAUUUUCUUUGGAAACAUAUUUAUAUUAAAACUACAUUUCAUCUAGAAUUGUUAGGUUUCAGCUAUAAUUACUAAGUGUAUAUGCUAGAGUUAUAUAAGAACCUAGUCACAAUCGAUUUAGAAUUGAUGGGUCCGCCUUAUCUCCUGUUCCUUGUUUGGUUGUGGACCUAGGGCAGACCCAUUAUAUUCAACGGUUUAUUUAACUUAAUUUUUAUAUAACUUAUAUACGCUGAGUGAUUAUAGAAGGAAUCUAUGGGUCUUUCUAGGGUUCAUUAUCGCAUAACAUAGAAGCAUUCAUUUCAUACAUAAUAAAGAAAAUAUUGGAUUUUCUGGAAACAUACUUUGUCGCUUUUACAAGGAAAAUGGUUUCUUGCUCAAACAAAAUUCUUAUGAACUCACGAACUUAAUUGUUGACACUUUUUCAAAACUACUUGUAUUCUCAGGAAAUCAGUGAAACAGGAAAACCAACAGCAUUUUGAGGAUGUGACGUUAAAUCGUCAAAGAGUUCAUUUUGUCAUCAUAAUGUAAUUGAUUUGAAACAUGUAAACAUAUACUUUGGUGUAAAUUUUUCAAUUAUAUUUAUGAUGGUUGUAUUUACUUUGAGCACUAUUAUACUCGUUGUUGUGAUACUAUACAUGAAGUCCUCCACCCCCGGACGUUUCCGUCAUCCUUGGUUUGGGGGUGUGACAGUUUGAUAUUAAAGCUUCUGAUUUUAAUAUUUGAUUCUUAUUAUUUUUUUUGUGGUGGGCGUCGAAACCACCAAAUAAAAAAAACCUUAAUACGAGGACAUACAUAAAUGAGUUGUAGUAGCAGUAAUAGGGACCGAAUCCACAGGGAUUGGUUCGAAUGAAAUCUAUGCAUUAAGUUUCCAUGAAAUAAAAAAAAAUAAAAUGAUAUGGGGGUUUUCAAAAUGUUAAAUGCGAUAAAAAACUAUUUUACAAAAAUAACAAAAAUGGAAAAAUACAAAAUCUAUAAAAUAAAAUGUUCCAAUAUCGGGAUAAAUCGCAAGUUUAACUAUUUGACUAAUCAUCAUAAUUUUGUAGUGCAAUGGGUUUAAUGGAUACUAAUUUGGCUAUAACAAUCUAAGAAGCUUGAGAUCACCUAGACUUUUCUUAGUUAAUACAAUGGUUAGAGAAGCUCAUAACACAUUUUCUUAGUUAAAGUCAUAUGUUCCAUAAAGCAUGUAAUUAAUGAAAAUUAACUAGCAUUAAGAACCAAAAAGUCACCAAAUCCAAGAGGAGUCAAAAUGCUUUCACUACCAUAUUGGAGAAAAUAUUUUCAUGAUUGUGUGAAAGAUAAACAAUCACAAGAACCAUUUGUCACUUGUUAAUUUGAUGAUCUAUUACGUAAUCAAGAAAUUAACCAACUAAUUAAACAUUCACAUAUCUAAACUCAUGACUAAAGACAUAUGAACAUAAAUAGAUGUUUUACUAGAAAAUAUUUCAUAGCAUGCCAUUAAAACCACACAAAACUAUUCCUAAUCAAUUAAUUGUUCCAUAGAUUCACCCAAUAUUGAAAAUAAAAAUUAACUAGACAAAAUAAUAAUAACAAUAAAAAUGAUAGAAAUUAUACCAAUACCGAUUACGAAACGAAGAUAAGAAAGCCUCUUGAAAUCGUCACUUCUUGUUGCUCCAAAAACUUCAUCCAUAAUCCGAGUAUUAAUACAAAAAUUAACCUGACCUAAUCCAAUUAAAAAGAUAAAUAACUCAUUAACAAAUUAUGAUUGUGAAAUCAUAAUUGCAAUGUUCCAAAAAUAAGAAAAGAAAAGAGACAGAAGACAAGAAGAAAACCCAAAGAGGCGCCGUUCUUGUUCUCCCCCUUCACUCACUGUGUUCUUUUUUUUUAACUCCAAAAAAUGCCCUACUUGGGUGACUUGCUUUUCAUCCACCACCAACACAAAUGUAUUGGGCUAAUAAAUAAUUCAUGUGGGCUGCUGGAAAAUACACUUGGGCUAUUUAAAAAAAUGCAAAUGGGCUGCCACAAGCUUUAUGUAUUGGGUUGCCAAAGCUAAAGCUGGCAGCUUCCUGUUCUGAUGUUCACGAGGCCAAAAACCCGACCAAAACUUGUCUGAAUCCGCUCAUUUUUUUGUGAGGUCUAAGAUUGAUGAGUUGGGAAGAUGUCCGUAAAGUUUCAGCUCAAUUGGACGACGUUUGCCCCCUUCGUCUGAUCGCUUGAAGAAAGUCGUGCAAAGCUGUCAAAAUCCGAAAAUUUAAUUUAUAUCGUUUGGUUUUUCUUUUCGCUUCCGGAUUUUUCUACGAGACUUCAAUCGUGGUUGCAAGGCAUUUAAUGUGGCUUUAACAAUGCUCCAAAUACCAUCUUGCUCGAACAAAUCUACACAAAAUUAGUUUAAACGAGUAAAAUAUUCAAAACAAUAAAUCUAACGAUUUAUUGCAAAAAAAAAAAUAUAAAAAAUGCUAAAAGUAAAAGAAAACGAUUGCUAAAAUAUAUACAAAAAAAAUAAGCUAUCAUUUAGUUUCUAUUUUUUGUUUUUGUUUCUCGUCCUCUGUUUGUAUUUAUUUGUUUUUUCUGAUUUUUGUUUCACAAAGCUUUCAAUUACUCAAUUUCUAUUUUGUUUUGGAAUCAGAUUUUUCAAGCCAUCUCAGACUGAAAGAGUGAAACUCAAUUCUCGAAGUUUAUGAUAUUUCACCGAAUUAGGUAAAUGGUUUGUAGAUAUUUGUAUCCUUAUUUGGAAAACUUUUCUUAUGUUUGUGUUUAACUUAAUUUUUCAGAGUUUCAUCUUCAAACUAACAAAUGUAUAGACUCGAUAAUGUAUUAUGUUAAUUAGAAUGGUUAGUUAAUAGAUUUUGAAGUUAUUUUAUUUUACAAAUGUAUGAUUUGUUAUUAAUUUUAUUUUGCAGCUUCCUAUGAUAAUUGGCGUCCACAAAGGCACAAAUUUUAUACAUGUUAGAUUGAAUUGAUCUUAAUAGUGUUGUAAAUGAUUUUGCAUCUACAAAGGUUAGAAAAAGUAAUUUUCUUAAAAUUAGUUGUUNNNNNNNNNNNNNNNNNNNNNNNNNNNNNNNNNNNNNNNNNNNNNNNNNNNNNNNNNNNNNNNNNNNNNNNNNNNNNNNNNNNNNNNNNNNNNNNNNNNNNNNNNNNNNNNNNNNNNNNNNNNNNNNNNNNNNNNNNNNNNNNNNNNNNNNNNNNNNNNNNNNNNNNNNNNNNNNNNNNNNNNNNNNNNNNNNNNNNNNNNNNNNNNNNNNNNNNNNNNNNNNNNNNNNNNNNNNNNNNNNNNNNNNNNNNNNNNNNNNNNNNNNNNNNNNNNNNNNNNNNNNNNNNNNNNNNNNNNNNNNNNNNNNNNNNNAUAUAUAUAUAUGUUUUUGAUAAUAUUGAUAAUAGUUUUAGUAAAAAGGUAUGUUUCUUUUUCAAAUAUUUGUUACGUUUGUGGCUUUCGGUGACCCUUUUUUUCUUCUCGCCCCGGGCCCAAAAUAUUCUUGGACCGGCCCUGUGUUUAAUCAGUCCAAAAAACCAAUAUAUAUCUAUUUCAUAUAGCAAUUGGCUAUCACAAUACAAUGAGUGAAAAAGCAAACGGCAAGUUGCACCCUAGCUUAAACCUUUUUGUAUGAUAAAACUAAUUCUUUGAAAAUUACAUCCAUACAUCUAUGAGACAUAGCAUCAUUAUACAUGAUUUGUUGUACUCUAUUAAGGAGUUUCAUCGUAGGGAUGUAAACGAUCCAAGCUACUUGUGAGCUACCCGAGCUCGGAUCGUUAAAAGAUCGAAACGAGCCAAGCUUUAACGAGCCUGAGCCUGAUCUCGAGCCUAGAAUAAAGCUCAAUUAAUAAACGAGCAUGAUCUCGAUCUUUAAGGUAAGAGCUCGUUUAAGCUCGCGAGCCUUAACGAGCUUUUUUAUAAUUCUAUAAUAUCGUUUUAUAUUAUUUUAUAUAUUAUUAUUAUCAUAUUGAAAUUAAAUAAGCACUGUUUAGGGCUUGGGCCUUUCGCGUACAAUAUAGUUUUGCCCUAGUAUUCACCCUAAUUUACCCCAAGCGACAGUUGAUAAGUACUUCUCUUCGCUUACUCCCGAUCGGAAUCAAUUGGUUCAUCUACGGUUGUACAUCUAGGACUGUUCACUAUUAGGGUAAAACCGAAUUAUCCAAUUGGACAAUUUGGAUUGGACAAUUUGGUUUCAGAUAUUCGGAUUUUUUGAUUGGUUUUCAACAAAACCAAAUUAUUAUUUUGGAUGUCGGAUUGGUUUUGGUUUAUAAAAUAAGAACUGAAUAGUCCAAAAAAAACAAAUAAACAUUUAUUAUUUAUCUAUUUGUAAUAUAUAUCUAUAGUUUUUUUUAUUAAUUUUGUAAUUUAUUUUUUCAAAUAGGAACGUUUCACCAGAUAAAGAAACAUUAAUAUGCAUUUUCACUGAAAAGUUUUCUAUCUAUAAAAUAUUUAACUAUAACAUAUCUUCUUAUUAGUUGUUUAUAAAUUUCAAAUCACAACUAAAUAAUUUGUUUUUUCCUCUUGUGUAAAGUUUAGUAAAAUUAUAAUUAUUUGUCUGUUUUAAAAUGUUUCGGUUUUUUAAAACCGAAUUAUAAAAACCGAUCCAACCGAACUGUAACUGGAUCGGAUCGGAUUUGAUUUAAAUUUAGUUUGGAUUAUUCGGAUCCAUGUUUUGAAAACCGAAAUCAAUUUGGAUUCACUUGAUUGGAUCGGAUCAAACCGAUCCAUCAAAAUGAACACCCCUAUGUACAUCUUCGUUGAACACCCACACAAGGUUAGGUUUUUUUUAUAGUGUUCAAUUUUUUUAUUUCAUCUAUUACUAUUGAUGUUAUAUCUUAAUACACAACACUACUAAUGCAAAUUGUAAGUGAAACAAAUCCAAUUAGUCUAAUGCAAGGUUCUACAUCGAAUCCAGUAGGUGUUGGUGAUGAUAAUCAACCCACACAAGAUGCACAUGAAGGCAUUAACCUCGAUGACGAGGAGAUCCAUCCUAAUGGCCAAAAUACUAGUGAAGAUGUUGGUUCUAUGGACAAGUUGGAAUUAAAGCCUAAGCGACAAAAGACCUCCUCAGUAUGGGGAUAAUUUGUUGAUGUGACACUUCUUGAUGGCAAGGUAAAAGUUGAAUGUAUUCAUUGCAAGAAGUGGUUGCCUAAAGUUGGAUCAGGCACUACAUCAACAUAUAAACGACACUUAGUAAGUUGUGCAAAAUGUAAAGCUUACCAAAAAUCUCAACAAAUGCUUAAUUUUCAGCCGAUUGAUGUGGAUAUGGGAUACGAUAAGCCUCCUCCCUUAAUCGGACCUGAUACAAAGUAUGAUCCUAAUAAGAUGAGAGAAACAAUUGCUAACUGGAUAAUGGGUACCGAGCAACCGUUUUCAGUGGUGGAGAAUGACUUGUUUGUUUACAUGAUGAAGAGGGCUAAUCCGUUGUUUCAAAAGACAUGUAGGGCUACAAUAAAGGAAGAUUGUUUGAAGGUCUAUAAGCAUGAAAUGAAAAAACUGAAAGAUCUAACAAGUGUUGCUUCAAAAAUUAGUUUGACCACUGAUUGUUGGAAGUCAUCUCAUCAGAAGAUUGAGUAUAUUGUCAUCACUGGGCACUUCAUUGAUCAGAACUGGAGGUAUUGCAGAGAUUUUGUCAAUAUUAUUCUCCUUAACUUGACAGCCUUUUUGAAUUGUAAGUCUUUUGUUCUCAGAUUAUAGAAGCGAGUGCUAAGUUUUGUUCAUGUACCUCCUCCUCGUAUCAGGCUUGAUAUUGCAGAUGGAAUUUACAAAUGCUUGAAGGAAUGGGAAAUUGAGGGAAAGAUCUUCUAUAUCUCUGUGGUAAUGCCUCAUACAAUGACAGGGCAGUUAAUACGCUGAAAAACAACUUUAAUAGAGUGAAGAAACUUCCAUGUGGUGGUAGACUAUUCCAUGUUAGGUGUUGUGCAUAUAUCCUAAAUCUUUUAGUCAAAGAUGGCCUUUCAAAUAUUGAUUUUUUCAUUGAAGAAGUCCGUGAAGCUGUGAAAUAUAUUAAUUCUUCUGAGGCAAGACGUCAGACAUUUUCAAAUAUUGCACACCAACUUCAAGUACAUGAUAGAAAAUUAUUGCUUGAUGUCCCUACCAGGUGGAANAUAUAUAUAUAUAUAUAUAUAUAUAUAUAUAUAUAGUAAUUCUUUUAUCUUAAGAUUUUCCUUUUUAUCUCCUAUGUUGGUCUUAGAUAUGCAGAAUAUGAGCCUCAUUUCCAUCAUUUUCCCAAUGAAUAUGAGUGGAAAAAUAUGGAGAAUGUGUGUGAAAUAUUAAAGAUUUUUAAGGUGUGCACAAAUGUUAUCUCAGGUAGUGACUAUCUGUGACAACCCGAUAUUUCAAGUCAAUGUAAUGACCUAAAAGUCAAGUAUUGUAACCUAUUUUUGAAAUAACAAUAUUAGUGUCAAAAAUUGAAGUGUUCAAAAAUCUCAAUUGGGAUAUAUAAAGUGAUAGAUAACAUAACAAGGUUUUCAGAAAUAUAAAGAACGCUAAAAUCCGAGUUAUAACGAAUAAGUUAUAAUCAACUGAAGAUCCACAACAAAACUGGUAAAACACUGUUAAACAUAAAACGUGAAAUUUCAAUAAAAUACACUUUAUCCUUAGGUAUCUAAAUGAAAGUUGUAGAUAUCAUUAAAUCGUAAACUUAUAUAAAAAGAACGUUGUGACAUCCCCAUUUUCACGGCCAGAAAAGACUGAUUUUGUUUAUGCUUUGUAAAAAUCAAAGUACUUCUUUUAAUAAAAAUUUUGCGGAAUUUGUUCCCAGAAAAACACGAUAAAUACGUUAUUAAAACAUUUUCGAAGAAAUGUAUUUUAUUCAUUUUAAAACGUUUGGAUGUCAUCGUUAAUACAUAAACAUAAGCAUAAACAGAACUUACAUUUAUUUACACUAGUGAUCUACAUCUCUUUAAAUCUCUCAGUGUAAUGUGACUUCAUAUCAGCACUUGUGAUAUAAAUAAACUGAGUGGGUCAGGUUGGGAAACCUGGUGAGUACAUAGGGUUUUCAACCCACAAUAAUAUAAUUAUUAUGUUUAAUCAUCAAACAAUUAACCAAAUUACCCAUCCCCAUUAUCUUCUUUACUCUUAAGGAUCUACCCUAAGAAUCAACUAUUUCUCGUUCAUUCAUUCCUAAGGAUUUUCCUAAGGAAUAGGUACGAAGUCCAUCAUUGUCAAUGACACAACUGUCAAGCACAGCUACUAGUUCUAUCACUUAGGCGCAUCUGCCAGAAUUGGGACAUUUUCUAUGAGGCGCUUCUGUCGGUAUUGACCUUUAAACACUACUGUCAUGGUCAUAAGGCUCCAUAUUAGGCGCAGCUGCCGAUACUGUCCUUAGUGCGCAGCUGCUAGGACGUUUACCAUAGAUCUAAAUCAUCUACGGGUUGUGGCGCAGCUACCAGUGCUCAUCUAUAGGGUACUAGGUCCACUGUUGCCAAUGUAUACCUAUAGGGCACUAGGUCCGUACUACUAAUGUUCCUCUAUUUCAGCUUUUAUCCCUCAUCAUUCAUCUACCCAUGUUUUACCCAACAUAUUUUGUAGAUAUAAAAUACUUUAUACAGCUUACAUCAUUUAAAACAUGUAUAAAAAUCUUUCACCAGCAUAGACANNNNNNNNNNNNNNNNNNNNNNNNNNNNNNNNNNNNNNNNNNNNNNNNNNNNNNNNNNNNNNNNNNNNNNNNNNNNNNNNNNNNNNNNNNNNNNNNNNNNNNNNNNNNNNNNNNNNNNNNNNNNNNNNNNNNNNNNNNNGACUAUGCACUCACUUGAUAAGGUGGUGAGUCGGCACUCGGACAGCACUUCGUUACUCUUAAAACAAUUUUCCUUCGAUAAAACCUAAUACCAAUACCACUAGGGUUUAGUCUAACGAUAACCGCGACAAAUUAAUAGUCUAGCUAUUAUUAUUAUUAUAUAAGCGUUAAAUAACACUCAAUAUAACUCAUAAUAAUAGCCCAAAUACUCAUUAUAAGUUCCUAAUAACGUUACUAUAUUAAAACAUAAGUUAUACUAAAGAUAGGGUAGGCAUAGCUCACUUACAGCGGGUUUUCUCGAAAACCGGGCUUCGCUGGAGCAGCGUUCCCGAGCCGAAAGGCUCUUUUCUCGGAACCUUCGGGUGCUCCGGGGCUUCCGCCUCGUGCUAGGGAGUUACCCUAGGCUUUGGGGGGUUAGGGAGGCUUAGAGAGAGAGUUUAGAGAGAGAAAGAAGGGUUUGAAGGUGUGAGAAUGAAUGGAACCCUGCACCUCUAUUUAUAGGGGUGCUGACUGACCUACUCGCCAAGUAGGAGGACCUACUCGCCGAGUUGGUGCAUGUGGCAACCUUCUGGUGGUGCCACGUGUCCAAUUCUGGUGGUGCCACGUCACCCCCUAUCGCGUAUCAGCCUUCAAACUUAGAAAAAUCAUAACUCUCGCAUACGAGCUCCGUUUUCGACGUUCUUUAUAUCCACGAGUAGGUAAAAUCAAGAUCUACAACUUUCGUUUAGACUCCGUUUGCUAAUUCUCGACCGAUCUUAAUUUUAACAGUAGGAGGCGUUUAGACUGUUAAAUGACCGCGAAGAAUUCGUAACUCCUUCAUACGGACUCCGUUUUCAUCUAUAUUUUUACCAUUUAGUUCCUAUUAAUGAGAUAUUCAACUCUCAUUUAGGUCGCGUAAGCCAAAAACCGCUCAAACUAAAAUUCGAGUUUCGGGCCAUGCACUGCUAAGCCGAAUCUUAGAAAAAUCAUAACUUCCUCAUACGAAGUCAGAUUUGGGCGUUCUUUUUUUUGUAUGCUCUUGUUUUAACAUAUACUACAAAUUUCAUUGAGAUUUAUAAGGCUAAAAGUCGCUCCAUCAUAAAUUUACUAUUUACGCUUCCCGGUGUCGUGCCGGUUUUGCCGUAAAACUUCGACGAGUCAUAACUUAUUCGUUAUAACUCGGAUUUCGGCGUUCUUUAUAUGUACGGAAACCUUGAGACAUAUUUUACAACUUGGUUAAGACUAUUUAUUACAAAUAAUCUUUUUCCGAAAAGUCAUUUUCGACACUUAUUGUCUCUAAAUUGACUAGCCCGGAUCUACGGGCGUUACAAACGUCCAAAUCUAACUUCGUAUGAGGAAGUUAUGAUUUUUCUAAGUUUCAGAUAUAGCAGUAGACAACUAAAAACUCGAAAUAGAGAUUGAAUGACUUUUAGAUAGCACAACCUAAACGAGAAUCGAAGAUCUCGACAAUAGUAGUACAAUGGUAAAAAGACAGACGAAAACGCACAUCGGAUGAAGAAGAUAUGGAUUUUUAACGGACUUUUCCAGUCCCGGCCUGUUAAAAAUUAUAAUAUUAAAAAUAAAGUCAAAACUAGCCGACAUAGUCUAAACGAGAGUUGUAGAGCAUAAUCCGACUUUGGUUGCUCAUUUUCAUCCUCUUUCCUAUCCUUUCUCACUUUUAAGCACCUCUAAACCACCCCGAAGCCCCAGUAACACCUCUAACACACGACGCAAGUCCUGACACCCCGAAGUUCCCUAGAAAACCUUCUUUCCAGUCGAAGUGUUGUCCGCACGAAGCCCGGUUCUUCACCAAAAACUCAGGGUGACAUCAAGAAAGCACGUUCCUAGAAACGAAACACUGUCCAAAUCACCAGUUAUCAAGUGAUUUCAUACCCCUAAACUUAUCUUUUAAUGAUUUUAAAUGCUUUUACAGGAGGGGGGGAUAGAAAUAAAAAACAUUAUAGUUAUAUAAUCAAUCACAUGUGAUUUAUAACUAUCAAACCAAAGAUGUUAUUUUUAUACUUCAUGCUAUGUUAUCAAACAAAUUGUUUUAAAUCACUUUAUAAACUAACAUCAAGUCAUCAAAAUUUAGUCAAAUAGUUAAACUCUUUAAAUGUUAUAAUAAACUCUUUUAACCUUAUAAUUGCCAAAUCAUGUUUAUAUAAGUUAAAAUAUAUAAGUAAGAUUUGAAGGGAUGAGGACUGAUGAAUUACCUUAAUUCCUUUUUCUUGUUUGGAUGUGGGAUUAAGGUGGUUUUAUUUUCCCGAAGGUCGUUUCCUUCAUAAUUAUAUAUAUAUUAUACCUAUAUGAACAUAAAAGGUUACUUCAUUCAGUAUCAUUACUUUUGUAUCACGCUAAACAAAGGUGUUCACCCAUGAGAAAUAAUAAUAAUCAGAUAGAACAUAUAAAUUAUAUUAAGUAUAAUUUAUGAGUCAAUCCAUGCUUUUAUCGUAAACAGAUAUAAAUAAAGACUUGUAUUUUUAUUUACUAAAAGGUUUUUCACCGUAUUACUCGUGAACUCAUUGUUAGCAUUACAUUUUGUGAGACAAUGGCUUUGCGUAGUACUCAACAAAAGUCCCCACUUAUAACCAGAGUCUCUUGGAGGGAGAGCGUGAUACUUGUGUAUAUAUCUAUACGGGACUGACGAUUCCGCACCCUGACUGUUAGCUAUAGUCCCCGGGGUGACAAAUGUCAACAUCGGUACUGACGUCUAGUAUGGUUAUAAGAACUCGCAAGCUGAGACAAUGACUCAUGCAUGUAGUAAUAUGCUUCUCAAAUGAACUUAAAGAGUAGAAUCCAUAUGAUCACCUAUAUCUUUCCGAAAAGUGAUUAGCAUGUGCCUAGGAAUGGUUGUGGUGUUGUAGCAAGUCUAAAAACUUACCAACACUACUAUAGUGAAAACUUUAUAACAGAACAUAAACUUAAAAUACUAUAGGAGUAUUUUGUGUUACUAUAAUUACUUAUUUGAGAACUAAAAGUCUUUACUAGUAGGUCAAUAGUUGUUGAGUGGAUACAAUAAGGUUAUAUGUGACUAAGGUGCCAUACUCUUAGAAUCUGUGAUCCUUGCUUUACUUCAUGUUCCUUGUUUGGUUGUGGAUUUAGAGUUAGGAUCACUUAUUCGAAGGUCUAUCCUAUUUUGAUUACGUAUGACUGGUAUGCACUACGCAAGUAUUGAAAUAACUGGUAAGGAUCAUCCUAUAAUUACCUUAAGUAGUACGUCUAUUAAUUAUUUCUUUUACCCCUAUUCUCGCGUAGAUAACAUGGUUGGAUUCAAUCUCCCUGGUGACCUGUACUUUCCCGAUCAAGAAGUCGGAGGAUGGCUCGAAGCUGAACCCGAGGACGAAAACCUGGUGGUCCCAUCAGAAGAAGACCCCGAAUGGAGUACUAAUGAUGAGGACGAGGAGGAAGUCCAGGAAGACUUGGACUCAGAACCGUAGGUCUACAAUCCACCCUAAGUUGCUGAAAAUCCUAACACUCGUCUGGCUUUUCAAGGCCCAAUGCCUCUGUGGGCGGUGAACUUGGGCAGGUGGAACCACGAGCAGGGACAAGAACCUCCCUACCACGGAGACCGGGGUUACUAUAACUUAAAGGAGGGAGGCUCAGUAGACAGAGUCCUUCCUAUCUUGGUGCAACAUAUUUCUCGCAAUGCUGAGCAGGGAAGAGCGAACUUCGACCAAGUCACGGAGACCCGUGCUAACUAUGGAGUCAACAUAGUUCGUUUUUGUCAUCUGACCGAUGACCAAGACUUUGAAAGGUCUCGCAUUGACGCCUUGCAGGUAGAUCCGAAUGCCUGUCGUUCUGAAUCAAAGGAUCUUCGUCAGAACCUAGUGGCACUGUAGAGACAAAUUUGAGAAACGGAACAACAGUUGGCUGAAGCCAGGGCUGAAUCAAGUACCAACCAGAACCACUCCCCUCACGAGUAGAGUCUACUCUACUCUGUCUUUUGGAUAUAGUUAGGUCUAUGUAUAGACUCUAGUACUAACUUCCUGCUUAAGUUAAGACCUUGAACUUUCAGUCUAUUAGGUCUUGGUGCUGUCAAAAUUUUCUUAUUUUGGUUUGAUGUAAGACCUACUCCUAGGUUAUUUUCCUGAACUUAUUACAUCUUUAAUACCAGUAAUAGUGUCUAAAAAUCAAUAAAUCGAAUCACGAAAUCUCAACCGAGAGUGAUUAUUUCUCAAAAUUCAUAAGUCUAUUUUUGGUAGACUAUAUUAUGUAUCACUAUCAAAUCUUCUCGAAAGUGGGAAGCAUAAUACCUCCAACCAAAGAGGACUUAGUCGGAUGGCACUCGUCUCGUAACUAUUCUAGAAACUUACUCCUACUCUUUACCAGGACUGCUUCAUAGGGAUGUAAGUCGAAUAACCGAGAACAGUAUAACAAAAUGAAGAACUUACAUUCACAUGAAUGAUUAGAAUACAUCUAGAGACAACCUUAAUCACUCACAAAUUCGUUUCUUAUCUUAUACUAGAAUCAUGCCUCCGAAGAAACCUAACCAAACCGCCGACAAAACACCAAUCCUUCAGAUAGAUUCCACUACGUUUCAAGUUGCAGUCACAACAACCGUAGCAACAGUUAUGGCUCACCUUAAUGCUAAUAACACAAAGGUUAGUGGAAAUGUUAUCGGCAACCCCAAUCACGGUGAUAACCUAGUAUAGCAACCGGUGCCUAUUUGUAAAGACACUCCAGACCUCCGACCUAAUAUACUGAAACGAAAGCUCAAGAGUGAGAGAGGGAACAGUUCAACUCAAGGACCUUUGGAAGGGCAUCAAGUUGGGGCAGUCAAUAUCCCCAUCAGCCCUGCUAUCCCAACACCGACCGCACACUACCUAGGAAACCUCCCACACUGUGGUAAGUGCAACUACCAUCAUUAUAGAGUCUGCCGAGAACCGUAUUGCAAUAAAUGCAAUAGGAAGGGGCACAUUGCCCGCAUCUGUAGAACUUCAGUCAGGUUCAUCACUUCAACCACCAAUGUUGGGAUCAAUAUAAUAUGCCCUUUUGUGGUGAAAUAGGACAUUUCAAGAGGGGUUGUCCAACCGAGAAGAAGGACGGGGGAACAGGAGGAGUCUGACCCCAUAGCAUAUCAAAGUACCCUGCUAUAAUUUUGGUACGCUUCUAAACCCUAAUAAAUAAUCAUAAUUGUACUUACUCUCUCGUUCGAAACAAAUCAUAGUACUCAUAAAAAAAAAUUUGUAACCCUAACAGGUAAGCUAUAAUGGCUUAAUGUUUGCAUUAGGGUCCUUUACGUGGUCUCAACUCGUGUGAAUUUGACGAUUUCACCAUCUCUUUCUUCGAUUAGCAUUCCUUCUUCAUAAUGAUUCACUCUAUGCCCAUUAACUUUGAAAGGGAUCCCGUCUCUUGAUAUAAGCUCAAUAGCUCCAUGUGAGAAAACUUGUUUAACUACAAAUGGCCCAUCCCACCGAGUUUGUAAUUUACCCGGAAAAAGUUUCAACCUUGAAUUGAAGAGUAGCACCGUUUGUCCUUCAUGAAAAUAUUUAUUACCCUUCAAUCUCAUGUCAUACCAUUUUUAGUCUUAUCUUUAUAUAUUAAUGAACUUGUAUAUGCUUCAUUUCUAAGUUCUUCAAGGGCAUUCAUUUGCAUUAACCGGUUGGUACGAAGUUCAGCUAACUCAAAAUUACAUAUCUUCAAAGUCCAAAAUGCUUUAUGUUCUAUUUCAAUCGGCAAGUGACAAUUCUUUCCAUAAACCAACCUAUAUGGUGUAGUACCAAUAGGUGUUUUGAAAGCCGUUCAAAAUGCCCAAAGUGCAUCAUCAAGCUUGUCCGACCACUCCUUUCUAUUACUUAAUAUCCUAUUUAAUGCUCGAUUUGUAACUUCAGUUUGCCCACUUGUUUGGGGAUGAUAUGAUGUUGAGAAUCUAUGGUGGACACCAUAUUUUUGCAACACUUUAUCCAAUUGAUCAUUUGUGAAAUGAGUGACCCGAUCACUAAUAAGAGCUUUAGGAACUCCAAACCUUGAGAAUAACUUUUUAAGAAACCGCACCACCACUUGAGCAUCGUUAGUAGGUAGUGCUUGUGCUUCCGCCCAUUUAGAUACAUAGUCGACAGUCACCAAGAUGUAUUUAUUCCCCUUUUGAUAUUGGGAAUGGUCCCAUGAAGUCAAUCCCCCAUAUAUCGAAUAUCUCACAAACUUGAAUGCUAUAUUGGGGCAUUUCGUUUCGGGAUGAUAUAUUUCCCGACCUUUGGCACGAAUCUCACUCCUUAACGUAUUGAGCGGCAUCUUUAAAGAUCGUUGGCCAAUAAAAACCCAUAUAAAAAAUCUUCUUAGCCGUAUAUUGUGCUCCAUGAUGUCCUCCGGUGGGUCCUCUAUGACAAUGUUUCAAGAUUUCUCGACUCUCUUUCCCGAACACACAUCUUCGUAUCAUUCCGUUUGCGUAGCUUCAAAAAAGUAUGGCUCAUCCCAAAAGUAAUAUUUGAUUUCUGAAAAAAGAAUUCUUCUUUUGUUGUCGGGUCAAAUCUUUUGGAAUGUAUUCACUUGCUAAGUAACUAGCUAUAUCUGCAAACCAUGGUAUCUCUCCUGCUAUAACCAAAAGAUAUUCUUCGGGAAAAUAAUCUCCAAUCUUGUUCUCUUCCAAUUCUUCUAAAUGUGGGUUCUCUAAUCUUGAUAAAUGAUCGACAACCACAUUCUCCAUUCCCUUUUUAUCUCUUAUUUCAAUAUCAAAUUCUUGUAGAAGUAAGACCCAACGUAUCAAUCUUGGUUUAGCAUCUUGUUUAGCAAAUAGAUACUUGAGGGCAGAAUGGUCAGUAAAAACAAUUGUCUUUGACAAGACUAGAUAUGAGCGGAAUUUAUCAAAAGCAUAAACCACCGCGAGCAACUCUUUCUCGGUAGUAGUAUAAUUCUAUUGAGUUGGGUUCAAGGUUUUGCUUGCAUAAUAAAUAGGCUGAAAAUGUUUGUCAAUUCUUUGGCCCAAAACAACUCCCACUACAUAAUCACUAGCAGCACACAUAAGCUCAAAAGGAAGACUCCAAUUUGGGGCUAUCAUAAUAGGGGUACUAGUUAACUUUUCCUUCAACAAGUGAAAUGCUUCAUGACAUUCCUUAGAAAAGUCAAAUGGUGCAUCUUUCUAAAGAAGUUGAGUCAAUGGCCUUGUGAUCUUCGAAAAGUCUUUAAUGAAACGGCGGUAAAAUCUCGCAUGUCCUAGAAAACUCCUUACCCCUUUUACAUUUGUUGGAGGUGGUAAUUUAGCUAUAGUGUCAAUAUUUGCUCUAUCCCUAACCUUGAGACUUUGUGUCCCAACAUAAUUCCUUCCUUCACCAUGAAGUGGCACUUUUCCCAAUUAAGGACAAGGUUGGUCUUCUCACAUCUUGCUAGCAUUAGAUCCAAGUUGGACAAACAAUCUUCAAAAGAGGACCCAAAAACCGAGAAGUCAUCCAUGAAAACCUCCAUAAAUUUCUCGAUUAUGUCGUGAAAGAUAGCCAUCAUGCACCUUUGGAAAGUAGUUGGUGCAUUGCAUAACCCAAAAGGCAUGUGUCUAUAUGCGAAUGUUCCACUUGGGCAUGUAAAAGUGGUGUUCUCUUGGUCUUGUGGGUCAAUCGGGUUUUGAAAGUAACCCGAGAAACCAUCCAUGAAACAAUAGUAUAGAUGGCCGGAUAACCUCUCGAGCAUUUGAUCGAUAAAUGGUAGUGGAAAAUGAUCCUUGCAUGUAGCAUCAUUUAGUUUACGAUAGUCGAUACAAACAUGCCACCCAGUUACUGUUCUUGUUGGGAUUAACUCGUUAGCUUCAUUGGUGACCACCACCAUUCCUCCUUUCUUUGGUACCACGUGUACCGUACUUACCCAUGUGCUAUUAGAGAUCGAGUAAAUAAUACCAGCAUCUAAUAGUUUAACAACCUCCUUUUUAUCUACUUCUUGCAUAUUUGGGCUGAGUCUUCUUUGGCAUUGUACUAUGGGUUUAGCUCCUUCUUAUAAGUUGAUCUUAUGAGAGCAAUAAGCUGGACUAAUCCCCUUUAUGUCAGUGAUCUUCCAUGCUAUGGCACUUUGUCUUUUCUUUAGUACCUUCACAAGGCUUUCUUUUUCAUGUUGUCCUAGAUCGGAAGCUAUGAUUACUGGUUUUUGUUGUCCUUCUUCUAAGAAUGCAUACUCCAGGUGUCCGCGGAGGGCUUUUAGCUCAACUUUAGGCUUUUCGUCAGUUACCACGACGUGGGCAUCCUGCCACGUCGUGGUGUCGCAACUUUUAAUUCCAUUUCGUGAAAAAAAAACUUUGCCACGACGUGUUCUCCUUACCACAUCGUGUUGCCUCUUCUGCCUCCUUCAUUGUUUCAUUAUAUUCACUUUCUACCAAUAGCUUCUCUAAUUCUUGCAGAUCUUGUUCGACAUUAAAGUUACCUUCUUCAAGCACCAUAAACCCUCAGUUUCCUUUUCCUUCCAUCCUCCUAGCUCCUUUUCAAAUAAUUCAUCAAGCACAUCGAUAGAGAAGGUUGUAUCAUCACUUGUUCUUGAAUGUUUAAUUGCCCGAUUUACCCCAAAGGUGACCGCUUCUUCUCUUACUCAGAGAGUGAGGUUGGAUUCUUUAAUAUCAACUAAGGCUCGGGCGGUGCUCAAAAAGGGUCUUCCAAGGAUUAUUGGGACUUGUUCAUCCUCCUCCAUAUCUAACACAAUAAAGUUCCCGGGAAAUAUAAAUUUGUCCACUUUGACGAGCAAAUCUUCACGUAUACCUAUUGGGAAGGUCAUGGUCUUAUUAGCAAAGUGAAUGACCAUGCGGACCGUUCUUGGUUCAGGGAGAUCAAGCUUCUUGAAAAACGAAUAGGGCAUCAAAUUAACGCUAGCUCCCGAAUCGGCUAGAGCAUGACUAGUUGCUAGAUUCCCGAAUUGGCAUGGUAAGGUUAUACUUUCCAGAUCACCCAUCUUUUAUGGAAGCAUAUUUAGCAUUGCAGUUGAGCAAGUUUCAUUCAAUACCAACUUUGAUAGUCCCUCCAUUUUCUUCCGGUUUGUUAAAAGGUCCUUGAGGAACUUGGCAUAUUUUGGCAUUUCAGUUAGAGCCUCAAGGAAGGGAAUGUUUAUUUCAAGAGACUUUAUAUGGUCUAACAACCUCCCAUAUUCUCCAACAUGCUUCUCUUGAAUUGCUCUACUUGGGAAUGGCAAUGGUGGCCGAUAAGACUUCACGGGUUCAUCAUUAUUGUUUUCUACUUCUGGCCACGACGUGACAUUUGUACCACGUCAUGGUGAUUGUUCGGAUCCUUGUUUUUGACUUUCUUCUUGAUCUUUCUUUUCCACUUCCGGGUUGUUUCUGUCUAUAGGCGUUAAAUGAGUAAUAAUUUUCCCACUUCUCGUUGUAAUGGCUUGGAUAUGAGCUCCUAUUGAGUUUUGUUCGGUGUUCCCUGGAAGUUCUCCCAUGGGUCUUUCAUUGAAUUGCUUAGCUAGUUUCCCGAGUUGUUGUUCUAUGUUGAGGAUAGAAGCUUGUUGAUUUCUAAACAGUGCUUGCUGGUUUUUCAUCAUCUCAUGUUGUUCCUUCAUCAUUAUUUGUUGCUAUUUCAUCAUUAAUUGUUGUUCUUUAAUUGUUGCUUCAGUUCCCUCGUGCCUUUUUUCAGAUGUGUCUGCAAAUCGGGCGAGCAUAGUCUCAAAAUCAGAUUUCAUUUCAACCGAUGGUUCCUCUUUUUGGUAGAAGCCUCUCCUUUUUUGUUCAUACUUUUCUUCCUUAGCCUUCUUAUACUCAUCAUAGGGUAACCAUUUUUUCUUGGUUUUUCUCCAACUGUAACGCCCCGAUUCUCAAGUAUUAAUUACAUAAGAAUUAUUGGAUGAAGCUCUACUCGACGAGUUGGUCGACCUACUCGACGAGUAGCAGCAGGGUGGGACCGCGUGUUAAGUGACCUACUCGGCGAGCACAGUAGAAGUAUAGUCAUGGAUAGACCAUAUUGACAUAAUUGUGAAUAGAUAAGACUCUAUUUAGAAUAAGUUUUCAUAUGGCAAAUAUGGAAAUGUUUCCAUAUUGGGAGUUGGAUAUCGAGAAUCAAUGUCUAGAUUAGAAAUUUUUUAUGCAAGAAGGAUGUUCAAAAGAAUGUACUUUGAGUGAGAGACAUCAUAUCUAUAGAAUUGUUUCUGAUAGAGAUUGGCCAAGUCUUGAUGAUUUUGAGCUAUGACUUUACGAAAGGAUCAUUGCAUAAAAUGUUAGAAUCUAGCAUAUUCUAUAAGUGACAAGAAUUUGAUAUUCUUAUACUUAUGAUAAGGAUUGGGAGUUGUGAAAUUAGUAUGAUUAGAAAUGUGUUCAUUUGAUCUAUUUCACAAAGUAAGGAUCAUAGGUAAACAUAGUGUGCAUGCUAAGAGCAUGGGACAAUUGUUGUUAUAAUUCAAGUAAGAAGUUGAUUACCCGAAACAACAAAUAAUGAAUAAUCAAUAUGGUGAUUAAAUAAAUGUUUUAUUUAUGCCCAAAGUUUGGGGCCAUAUGGGAUUAAUAUUAUUCUUAUGUUUCACGUUGCAUGUUUUGACUUCCCGAAUAAUAAGAUUAUUCAAACUCUCCACAAUCGCUCAUUCUUUGGAAGUACGAAUGAAAGAAGACUGUCAUGAAUCUGACUGUAGAUUGUCUAAAGUGUUUUAGACAUAGCAAAAGUUUGCUGCAGGAUUCAUGAGUGCUGCUAUAAGAUUAGAGUAUUGGAUUAAACCCAUGCUCACUUGGAUCACUUCAUGGAUUUUAUCACGAGUGAUUGGUGAGAUGAUAAUAUAUUAUAUUCUUGAAACCGAGAUGUGUGAGUUGUAUCUUGCGAGUCGGUUAUACAUUGAUAAUAUGUAAACGCACCAGUAACUUGGUGUUAUAAAACAUAUUGUUGUGUAUUAUUUGGUGAGUGAGUGAGUGCAAGCAUUGAAUCAAAGUUUAUUCGUUCCUUUUAUCCAUACUGGGGUAAAAGCGAUAUCUGUGGGCCCCUCGAUGAUUUAGUGAUGACACCUAAGCGCUUGGCCAAGCCGGGACUAACUUGAUGUGUUCAAUUAUAGUCUGUUGUCAGUCGUCAUAAAUCGGAAAUCGGGAAACAACACAUAGACAGAGAGAAUGAUUUAAAUCCAUGUCUUAGCCUAUACGAUAUCUAAAAUGGAAGAAUAUAUGAUCCCUUAUCUAAAGUACGCGUAUCUGAUAAGAUCAGAGUUGAAAACGACUUUUGAAAGCUACGAUUGCGGAUUAGGAUCUGAAGUCAUACGCAGAAUAGUUAUUAGACUUAUCCAAGUGGGAGACUGUUGGAUUAGUGUCUAAGUCCAUAACUAUUUUGGUAUGUACUUGACCCGAUGGUGCAUGGUCCUUUUGGGUUGCCUUCACCAAAGCAACUUGAUAGGAUGAAUUAUGGAGAGAGAAAGGAUUAAUUAUGAUUUAUUAAUAUAUUAUGAGAAUAAUAUAUUAAAGGAGAAAUCAUAUUGUUUAAUUAAUAUUAGUCAAUAACUAAUUAAGAAUUAAUUUUGUGGCUAAAAGACAUUAAUUAAACUUAAGGGACUAGAACUGUCAAUUGUAUGAUAGUUGAAUAUUGGGCUAAUGGACUCCACAUUAGAGGGGUGGACGAAUUCUAUGGGGAAACCCAUUAGAAAUCUUCCUAGGCCUCUAAGGUGGGAGUCCAUGGGUUGCUUAUGGCCUAAGCAGUCAAAUUAGGGUUUCUUUGUUAGAUAACCCUAAUAGCCUCACUAUUUAAAGGAACCUUGAGACUCAAAACGUGGCCAACUGAUUCCUUAGGGUUUCUACACGUUUUUGGGUGCCUCCUCUCUUCUCAUUCUUCAUCCUCUUGCUCUUGGUGUUUGUGAGCCAUUAGAGGAGUGACACUUGUGACUCUAACCUUUCUAAAGCCAUUACAAGGAGGAUUUGAGAUUGUUAUUGCUACAUAACAAUCAAGGUAAGAUCUAAACCCCAUUCUUGUGUUAAUAUUGAUUAUCACAUGCUAGAUCUAGGGUUUAAAGUCUUGGAUGAAUGCAUGUACAAUAUAGAAACCUAGAUCCAAGCAUUAGGGUUUGCAUGAACACAUAGGAUGUUCUUAUGGCUAAAACCCAUCAUUUUUUACAUUAAGACAAGAUGGGGAGUCUGUGAUGGAGAUUAACUGUAUGUUCAUGGAGAGGGCUAUGUUUUGUCUGGAGUUUGCUUCAUAUCAGUCUUAGAUGACUCGUUAUCUGAGUAUGCUCAAGACUAAUAUUCGACAGUUUGUGUCUACUCAGCGAUGUGAUACCCUCUUGGACCUUCAGGAAGCCGCAUGGCAGCGUGAGUUGGAGAUAGAGCUACAGCUGAAGGAGCAGCGUCAGGCACUGGAACAGUCUCAGCUGGCGCCUAAGCGGUCAAAAACCGCUGAUACACGGUCCGUGGGUCAUUAGAGCCGCACUUGUGGAAAGUGUGGCAAGGCCCAUUCGUGGUUUUGUUGAGCAGGAGGUGGGUGUCACAAAUAUGGCAAUGAGGGGCACUAUGUCAGGGACUGCUGUCAGUCUGUCCCUCCACCAGAUAUGAGGAUUUGUUACCACUGUCAUCAGGUUGGUCAUGUGAAGACCAACUGUCCGCAGCUUGCCGCCAAGCCGACGCAGGUUUCCGCGCCAGCUACUGGGAGGAUUGGAGAUGGGAGGCCAGUCAAGGUGGAGCCUCCAAAGGCUCAGGGUCGCGCCUUCCAGCUCACGGCCAAGGAGGCCAAGUCAGUACUGGAUGUGGUUGUUGGUACGUUUUCUAUUCUUUGUCUCAGUUAUUGUAUUCGUGUUAUGCUUAUUGAUUGUACCUGUGAUUAGGUACGUUUUUAGUGAAUUCUUUGCCCGCUUUGGUAUUAAUUGACUCGAGGGCGAGUCGAUCGUUUUUAUCUCAGACCUUCUCUAGAGGAUUCAGUGUGGCGAUAGUUGAUCUUGAGUGUACGUUGCGAGUUUUGAUCGCCAACGAGCACGGGGUCUCUGCUUCUUCGGUCUUCCGGGGAUGCGAGUUAGAGAUUUUCGGGGUGCCCUUCCCGAUAGAUUUGAUUCCUAUUCCCACGAGGAAUGUAGGCGUGAUUAUAGGGAUGGAUUGGCUUAGCCGUUUUGGCACCAUGAUCGACUGUGAGGGGCAGCGGGUGGUGGUUCGAACCCCAAGUAGGGGAGAACUUGUAGUAUAUGGUGAGGGCACCAGGUUGGGAUCAGGGUUUUGUUCGGCAGCCAGGGCUCGACAGUAUAUUCAGCACGGGUGUGCCAAUUAUUUGGCAUAUGUCGUAGAUACACGGGUUAGAGAGCAGCUCUCAGUUUCUGAGGUUCCGAUAGUGAGGGUGUUUGCUGAUGUGUUUCCAAAGGAGUUACCCGGAGUGCCUCCGGAGGGGCAGAUUGAGUUCAGGAUUGACCUAGUGCCAGGUGCGGCCCCUAUCGCUAAGGCGCCGUACCAACUGGCACCGCCAGAGAUGCAGGAGUUGUCAUCUCAGUUGCAGGAACUGCUGGUAAGCAGUUUAUUCGUCCGAGUAGUUCACCCUGAGGAGCACCGAUCCUUUUCUUCAGGAAGAAGGAUGGCUCACACAUGAUGUGCAUUGACUAUAGGGAGUUGAACAAGUUAACGGUGAAGAACCAUUAUCCGCUUCCGAGGAUAGACGAUCUUUUUGAUCAGCUGCAGGGUGCAUCUUGGUUUUCCAAGAUUGAUUUGAGAUCAGGAUAUCACCAGGUCAGGGUGAGGGAGGAAGACGUGGAGAAGACCGCGUUUCGGACUCGUUAUGGUCAUUACGAGUUCGUGGUGAUGCCAUUUGGACUCACCAACACGCCAACAGUGUUCAUGGAUCUGAUGAACCGAAUAUGCAGACCGAUGCUUGAUCGCUCGGUCAUUGUGUUUAUAGAUGAUAUCUUGGUGUACUCCAAGACUCGAGAGCAACAUGAGGAGCAUCUCAGGGAGCUGCUAGAAGUUCUAAGGCGAGAACGGUUGUAUGCCAAGUUCUCAAAAUGUGAGUUUUGAUUACAGGAGGUCCAGUUCCUCGGACACCUUGUUAACCAGGAGGGUAUUUUGGUCGAUACGGCCAAGGCGGAGGCGGUUAUGCAGUGGGAGACCCCGAAAUCUCCCUCUGAUAACAGGAGUUUCUUGGGUUUUAGCAAGGUAUUAUCGGAGAUUCAUUCGUGAUUUCUCCAUAAUUGUCGUACCCCUUACUCGUCUGAUGAGGAAGGGGAUGGAUUUCCGGUGGUGCCCUGAGCAGCAGAGGGCGUUUGAGACCCUCCGGCAGUGUUUAUGCGAGGCGCCAAUGUUGACACUCCCCGAGGGAGUGGACGAUUUAUGGUAUUUUGUGAUGCAUCCAUCACUGGCUUGGGGGCAGUCCUCAUGCAGAGAGGACAGGUGGUAGCCUACAAAUCGCGGCAGCUGAAGCCGCAUGAGACGAGGUACCCCACGCACGAUCUUGAGUUGGGAGCAGUGGUUUUCGCUCUCAAGAUUUGGAGGCACUAUCUGUACGGGGUCCGUUGCACUAAAUACACAGAUCACAAGAGUUUGAGACACAUCAUGGAUCAGCCGAACCUGAACAUGAGGUAGCACAGGUGGCUAGAUGUGGUCAAGGACUAUGAUUGCGAGAUCCUUUACUAUCCUGGUAAAGCGAAUGUGGUUGCGGAUGCUCUGAGCCGCAAGUCAGCUGGGUCCUCGACCCCAACCAUGUGUAUGAGGAUAGCGGUGGAUUCCCCACUAGUGGGUUUGAUCAGGGAUGCUCAGAUUGAGGGCAUGAGACCAGAGAACUGGAAGUUGGAGAGGAUUAAGGGCGAAAGCGCCCGGUUUGUUCAGGAUAGUCACAAAUUGUUGACCUGUUACGGUUGGGUUUGGGUUCCGAUGUCCGGAGGGGUCCGGCAGACAGUGAUGGAGGAGGCUCAUAAGUCUCGUUUUUCGAUUCACCCAGGGGCCACCAAGAUGUACCGUGAUUUGAGUUCGAGUUAUUGGUGGCCUGGCAUGAAGCGAGAUAUCGCUUGGUUCGUUGAGAGGUGCUUGACUUGUAGGAUGGUCAAGGUCGAGCAUCAAAGGCCGCAUGGUAAGUUGCAGCCUCUAGAGAUUCCCAUGUGGAAAUGGGAACGGAUCGUGAUGGAUUUCAUCAUGAAGUUGCUGAAGACGGCAAGGGGUUCGAUGCUAUAUGGGUCAUUGUGGAUCGAUUGACCAAGAGUGCCCAUUUCCUAGCCAUUUGGGAGAGUUCGUCGGCAGAGAAGUUGGUCGACCUGUACGUCAGGGAGAUUGUCUCUCGCCAUGCGGUUCCAGUUUCUAUCGUUUCCGAUCGAUAUGUCAGGUUUACUUCCCGUUUUUGGCAGAAGUUCCAUGAGGAACUGGGUACACAACUGCAUUUUAGUACGGCGUUCCAUCCGCAGACUGAUGGGCAGAGUGAGCAGACCAUUUAGACCCUCGAGGAUAUGUUCCGGGCGUACGUUAUUGAUUUCGGUGGGAGUUGGGAUUCCCACCUACCACUUGCAGAGUUCACUUACAACAACAACUAUCAUUCCAGUAUUGGCGCCCCGCCUUUCGAGCUAUUGUAUGGGCGGAAGUGUAGGACCCCAGUCUGUUGGGGCGAGGUUGGGCACAGAGUGAUGGGUCGGACAGAGGUAGUUCUGCAAACUACCGAAAUGAUACAACAGAUUAGACAGCGACUGCAGACCGCUUAGAGCCGGCAGAAAAGCUAUGCCGAUCGACGCCGAUCGGAGCUGGAAUUUCAGGUGGGUGACAUGGUUCUUCUGAAGGUCUCACCCUGGAAGGGUGUGAUCCGCUUCAGGAAGAGGGGAAAAAUUAGGUCCCCAUUAUAUUGGGCCGUUUAGGAUUAUCGCCAAGGUUGGCAGGGUGGCUUAUAGGCUAGAGCUCCCGGAGGAGCUUAUCCAGAUCCACAACACAUUUCAUGUUUCGCAAUUACGAAAAUGCAUUAUGGACCAGGAGACAGUGGUAUCGUUGGAUGACAUUUAGGUCGAUAAGUGCCUGAACUAUGUGGAAAGGCCUGUGGCGAUUUUGGAAAGGAAGAAGAAGAUUCUGCGGAACAAGGAAAUACCUUUGGUAAAGGUACAAUGGGAACAUCGGAAGGGAUCCGAGUGGACAUGGGAGCCGGAGGCGGAGAUGCGCGAGCAUUACCCGACAUUGUUUAUCCCAACGGACUUCGAGGGCGAAGUCUAGUUCAAGUGGGGGAGAGUUGUAACGCUCCGAUUCUUAGGUAUUAAGUACAUAAGAAUUAUUGGAUGAAGCCCUACUCGAUGAGUCGGUCGACCCACUCGACGAGUAGCAGCGGGGUGGGACCGCGUGUUAAGUGACCUACUCGACGAGUCCACUUUGGGACUCAGCAAGUAGGAGCUGGCAGAUGAAACCCUAAAUCCCGAGGUUUGCACCCCUGUUUAAAGGAGCCUCAGCCUCCUUUGGCCUCCUUGCAGUCUUUGAGAGCCCUUAAAACCCUAAUACGUGUGUGUGUGCCAUUGUGUGAUUGAAGCCUGAAAAGAGGAUUUUGGAGAGAGAAGGCUUAGAGGAGAAGGGUAUUGGAGCAAGUGGAGUGUGGAAACCAGCUCUUAUCUCGGUCAUCAUCUUCUGGAGGUAACCAAAUCGCCUUUCUUCUUGUGAAUCUCUUCCAUUGUUGAGUUUUAGGGUUCUUGGUGAAGUAUUAAGUUGAAAGGAUGAGCUAUGGGCUAGAUCUGAGGAUGUAACUUUAGAUCUGGACCCUCCUUGGAUGCUAGAAUCAUAAAGUUGUUGUAUUGGUUGUGAUUGAGGUCCCUAUUAGACUUAAAGCUUCAUUAAGAACUUAAAAUAGACAUUUAGAGCCUUUAUAGCCAUGCAUGCACGUAAAGUUUGCAACUUUACGUGAUAAGUAUGCCCUAGAAGCUUGGAUCUGUUAUUUGGGGCCGCUGCAUGGCUCAAAUCAAGUCUAUAUGGAAAAAGAACUGAAUGGACUCGGCGAGUCGCAAGGUGACUCGGUGAGUCAUAUGAAGAUGGCCGUGAACUCGACGAGUUGGAUGAACAACUCGGCGAGUCUAAUGAAGAUCACCAUAAGACUCGACGAGUUGAAGAACAACUCGGCGAGUCGGAUGAGUUUUCCCUAGAUUAUGUAUGCGUGUGUAUAUGUCGAGUUGCAAGGAGGAAACUCGACGUGUGACCUUAAGUUUGAUCGAGGAUCAAAGGAACUCAACGAGUCACUCCGAUGACUCGGCGAGUUGGAAUGUACUUCAGGGAACUCGGCGAGUAGCCAAGGGUACUCGGUGAGUUAAGGUCAACAUGGACUGUUGGCCUUGAUUGAGGACUUUGACUUUGACCAGGGGUUAACUAGUGGGUUAUGGAGUACCUUGUAAGGUUAAGGACUUAUGAGUAUGAUGUGCUUUGAUGAUAUGUGGUGGAACCUGUGUCAAGUGAUCCGAGAGUUGGAGUUUUCCUUUCGUGUCGACAUCUGCGAGGUGAGUUAUCCUCACUAUAUCGAUAGGGUCUACGGCACCAAGGCCGACCCUUUAGUUGUUAUUGUUAUGGUAUGUUGCAUGUGGUUAUGAUUUGUUAGUUCGGAAUCGAGGUAGACAGUAUGUUAUGAUUUUAUGAUCCGUAGGGAUUGGUGUGGUAGUGACCUGAUAGGUCGGUACUCUAGUUACAGGAGAAUUUUAUGAUUAUGAUCAGUGAGAUAGAUAUGCUUGAUGUUUGUAUAUGCCAGUAUAUGAUAGCUAUGCGUACAUGGUUAUUUGCUUGUUGGUUGGGUUGAGGCGGUCCUGCUUUGUGCUGAAGGCCAACAUACCCUAUGAGCGGUCCUGGGAGACUGUAGGCCCACGUGGCGGACCGGUCAUGCCGAGGGCUCGGGAUAGAUUCAGACAAACUGUAGGCCCGGUAGGGCGGUCCGUCAGGCCGAUGGCCCAAUAUGCAUGAUGAUUGAUUGAUUAUUACUGAUAUGGUAUUGUUAGUGUGGUAUUGGUAUUUUGGGGGUAGCUCACUAAGCCUCGGGCUUACAGUUUUUAGUUUAUUGUUUCAGGUACUUCAGGAGUCCAUGGAAAGUCGAAGGCGUGACCGUACCGCUCCUCAUCCUUAUGUUAUGAUUUUUUGGACACUCUGAUGGAAAAUGAUUUGAAAACAUUUUGUAAACGAUGCUUUACGGUUUUUAUUUAUGAUUGAAAAGUUUAAAUUUGGCGUAAAAUUGAUGGAUGUUACACCAAUCUUCAUCAAAACGAUCACCACUUGAGUAGCAAGCUUGAACCUUUUGGUUUCCAUUUUCAUUAAGGUCACAAUCCUUAGUCAAAUGCAGCCUGUUGCAGUUUUCACACCCAACCCGAAUAGCAUGGAUUGUUUGAUCCAUUUUAGUCAUUCUUCUAUCCAUGUUUUGUAGCAUCGCCAAUACUGCUGACAUAUCUUCUGAAGCAACAUUUGUUGAACCCCUAGUUACGUCAUUCCUCGGAUUAUGGUAUUCUCUAGAGUACUUAGAGAAUUCUUCAGUGUGUUCCUUAACUCUUACCAAAUUUUUCUUUGUUAAGGGGCCUUGAGAGUUAAGGAGUUGUCUAGUCAUGACGUUUACCCCAUCAUCAAAGAUCAACACUUCUUGUUGCACAUUGAGAUCAUUUUGUGGGCAAUUCCUUAUCAGGCCUUUGUAGCGCUCCCAUGCUUCGUACAACGACUCCCCCAAUUGUUGUUCAAAAUUGGUGAUGGCCUUUUUGAGCUUGGCCACCUUGGAUAGUGGGCAAAACAAUUCCAAAAACAAUUCGCGCAUUUUUGCCCACGUAGUAAUCGUGCCCGGUGGUAGUGCUUUCAGCCAAUCCUUUGUGGCUCCCUUGAAAGUGAUGGGGAGCAUCCUUAACAACACCGUUUCUCUUGGUACAUUCAGAAUGUUGAAGUAGUUGGCGAUGUCGUUGACUUCAUCUAGAUGCUUAUAAGCGUCUUCAUGAUCCUUUCCAGUGAAAGGAAUCUCCUUCAAUGCAGUAAGGAUGUGCCCCUUGAGUUCAAAUGUUGCAAUGGCGGGUAUGGUGGGUUGCACAAGCCCCAGACUGGUGUCGUCUCGAACUCUCUUUUUGUACGCCUCCAUCGAGAGGUCGGCAAUGUUCGCCAUGGUGUUGUCGGGUUCUGUGUUUAGCUCGUUUUCUAUUUCAGAUUCGGUUUCGCUUCCUUCUUUUUCUGUUUUGUACUCGGCGUCUUCCUUCGUUGGAUUUCUCUUUGUGUCUUCUUCCUUAAGUGUUUUGCUAGAUUCUCCUACUUUUCCUUCUUCUUGCCAAAAACGACUUGAGAUUUUUGAAAGGUGACUUCUUUGGUGUAGCGGGUUCUCUUUCGGUUUUGCUUUUGUUUUUGCGAAAAGCGGAUUCCGGGUCUUCAAGUGGUGGGAUCAAAGAGGAAUUUGAUCCACGGGUCAUACACAAUCUGCAAUUAAAUAAAGGAAACAAGUAAAAAGAACAAAAACGAAAAAUAAAAUCCUACUAUUACGAUGCCACGACAUGGUAGAAAUUACCACGUCGUGGUGAGUAAAAAGCAAGUAAAUCCUAAAAUAAAAAUAAAUAAAAAACUAAACGAUAACUAAUACUAAUAAAACAGCAGAAUAAAGGUAACUGAGAUUCCACCGUUCCCCGGCAACGACCCAAAAACUUGAUGUGUAUUUAAUGUGUUUAUAUUUUUAUUCAAGUUUUAAAUUUAUAAAAGCUAUUUCCUUUACUAGACUAUUAAACACACUAGGCAAUGUACCUAAUCGUGCAAUAGUAUAGAUAUGGUAAGAACGAGUGUCGAACUCAAGGAACGGUGUUUUAAUUAACUUUAUUCUACUAUUAACUAAUUACUAAUUAGAUAAGAAAAAUGUUUUGUUUUCCUAGUUUUGCAAGACUAGAUACUUAAAUUAUCAACUAACUAAAAUUCACUUAAUUAAGCUAACACUGAACUAAAGCAAAUUAACAAGUAUGAAUUAACCAAGGUGAGUAAUUUGUUAUUAUGGUUGAUUUAUGGAAGUGCAAUGGACUUAGUUUGUAACAUCCCGAUAUAUCAAGGGUAGAGUUGAAGGGCUAAAAGAGUAAUUUGGGAAAGAGUGACUCGGCGAGUCCAUGNAUGGACUCGGCGAGUAGAGUCGCGAUUUGGUCGCGUGUUAAGUAGUCGACUCGGCGAGUCAAUGUGGUGGACUCGGCGAGUAGGCGCUGAGUGAAGAAAACCCUAAUUCUCGGGGUUGAGCCCUAUAUAAAGAACAUUAUGUUUCAUUCACAGCCUCUUUAUCAUCCCAUAAGUUCCAGAGGCCGUGAUUUCGUGAGGAAACACCAUUGUUCAGUGGAUUGGAGCUUGGAGAAGUAUUUGUUGAAGAAAGUUUGGGAGUUUGAAGGUGUGGAGCAAGGGGCUUUGCUUGGAUUCGAGUUUCCUUGCAGAUUGGGGCGUUCUUUUGAGGUAAUAUCUCGUUCUUAGGCUGUUGUUAUCUUGUUUCUUCAUUUUGGGGUUUGAGGGAAGCUUAUCUUGAGUUAUAUUGGAGUCUAGAGGUUAGAUCUGAGGUUGUUACCUCAGAUCUGGAAUGGAGAGGAGUUGGGAUGCAGGAAAGCCCCUGUAUUGAGUGUUGGAUGAAGCUAUCUUGUCCCAAACCUUAUCCCUAAUGUGCAAAAUGCAUAGAUCUCUUUGGAUUCACGUAAAGUUUGCCACUUUACGUGAUGGAUGAGUUGUAGGAGGCUAGAUCUAUGUUUUGGAUCAAUUGCAUGGUCUGGAAUGUUUCUGUAUGGAUUCAGACCGUUGGUACUCGGCGAGUCACAUGGGUGUACUCGACGAGUUGCUUGAAGAUGAGCUGGAACUCGACGAGUUGGAAGAACAACUCGGCGAGUUGGAUGAAGAUGGCCUGGAACUCGGCGAGUUGUAUGAACAACUCGGCGAGUAGGUUGAAGAUAGCCUUAGACUCGGCGAGUCUGUUCUUGGGCUCGGCGAGUCUUGUCGAAGAGUCCCAAUAUUUUCUGGUUGAGUCGAGAAUCGGCGAGUCAAGGGAUGACCCGGUGAGUUGUGUGCGAGUGGACUCAGAGUUGUGGGACUCGGCGAGUCUCGGGGUGACUCGACGAGUUGAGUCGCGGAUUGAGUGAAGUUCUGAGUUUGGGAACUCGGCGAGUCAUAGGGUUGACUCGGCGAGUAGGGUCAGUCAGGGGUUGACUUUGACCUUGUCCUUAACCAAGAGUUGACCGUUGAGUUUAGAGUUUGGUCAGCGAUGUGGCCUUUGGGCUAAGUGAGGGGUAAAAUAGUCUUUUACCCUUAAGAGGGUGCCAUGAGUGGGUUGAUUCUAGUCUCGAGAGUUUUAGUCAUGAGAGUAUUUGCCUUACGUGUUAGGCGGUGGCGAGUUCGAGAUUCAAGUGUGGAGAUAUCUGCUUUCUGCUUGCCAGGUGAGUCUUCUCACUAUACUUUACCUUGAGUAGGUAACCAGAGUUAUGUGAUCAGAGUAUUUGUAUGCUAUAUGUAUGUGAUGUGUUGUACUGCAUUAUUUCUAUGUGAUUUAUGCUGUGCAUGUUUAUAGAGUUGGAACCGGAAGGUUCCCAGAGUUAGAACCUGAGGGUUCAUAGAGUUUGGAUGCACGGACCCAUAGAGUUAUUAUAGCCUCGAGUGGCUAAUAUGUGUUAUGUGUGGUAUUUUGGGGAACUCACUAAGCUUCGUGCUUACAGUGUUUGUGUUAUGUUUGUUUUUCAGGUUUCUUUCAGUAUCACGGGACGGUACUGGCUUGAUUGUACACACCAGAGAAAGAGUCAUGUUUUGGAGGAUCCUGGUUUUCUAUGCAAGUGAAAAUGGAGUUAUGUUUUGUAAUUCGAUUAUGAAUGAGAUUUUAAACAAGUGUUUCUAAGAAUUAAACGAUUAUUUUAAAUGAAAAAUUGUUUUGAAAUUUAUGGUGUUACAUAGUUUCUUUAGUUACCAAUUCAUAAGAUGACCAAAUUAGUAUUCACUAAUUUAAUCCUUUAGCAAACUAGCUUAUUUAUUCGGUGAUCAGACUGACAAACUUACAAGUUCACUAGUGUUCAAUUCGAAUUGAUUAGAAUUAUAAUUAAUUGACCAAUUUAGUUUAUUGAUUCAAUUUAAUACAUGAUUUGUCGUCAUAUAUUAGCUCCUAUACCAUUUUACCCACUUUUCUACUUAACCUAGAUUUUAUUCAAAACUUUAGUCCUACAAUUUUGCAAAUCACAAGAUCAUAAGAUUCAAAUUUAACUAAAAAAGAUGGUCAUACUAACUUAAUCAAAUUCAGUAAUAAGUAGAGAAAAUUAGUUAUCAAAAGUACCUGAGGUUCUUUAAUAAGUUAAAUCAACAAAUAACCAAAUAUCUAAAUCCAAUCCAUGAAAUCAACCAUAAAUAGUCAGGUCAUCCUAGGCUAAACGAAAGUCAUGAGUAUUUAGCUCAUGAUUUCAGCAAACAAAAUCACAAAAACGAAAUUCAUAGUAUUUGACAUAGCAAAAUCUAAUAAAAAAUCAAAGUUUAAAGUUUAGUUGCCUUAAUGCUCCUUCUUCCAAGGUAUGUGAAUGAAAUUCUUGCUUCCAAGCCUUAGAACCAGUGUUUAGCCUUCAAAAGUGUCGAAUUCUCCAGAGCCAAAAGUUCCCAUUCGGAGGUUUAAGUGAUUUAUUUAUAAUUUUCUCAAAAUCAGAACACCACAUCAUUGUAAAGCCACCACGCCGUGGUAAUCGUGUUUAUCCCGUGUUUUCCAAGUCUUUGAAGUUGAUCGGGAUUCUUCAAGUCGCCACAUCAUGUGGAAUCCACCAUGAUGUGUUGGACAUAUUUUUCUUCAUUUUAGAGCCUUGGUUCCAAACUCGCAACUUCUAGCAUCCAAUGUCUAGCUUCCAGCUUCCUUUUUGCUCCAAGCUUGUCUUUUGGUCCCUACAACACGAUUCAUAGCAAAUUAAGUAUCUUUUGUUCUAAUAAGGGAAUAAAAGUAAUUAAAAUAUUAAGAUAUGUUGUAUAAUUAUGUGUAUAGAUAUGCACAUAUCGCUCCACAUUUCAUGAGGUGUCAUAAUCCUACUCAAGGUAUGUCACUCAAGGCACAAUCUUGGAGUAUAACUCUAAGACUCGAUUUUGGAACGAAGUAUGACUCAUAUCUUGAUUUAACCACUUCAACAACUCACGAUUCCUCUUAUUAGCCAUACAAUUUCACUAAGGUGUCCUUAGAUGAUCAAUUGUGACAUGUUUCCAUAAUCAUUAGGAUGAUCAUAAAACACGAUACUAAAGUACUAUCCUUUCCUUUCAGAUUGGAGAAACUUUUAUCUUUCUGCCUAAUUGAUUCUUCUUAUUCGUUUUGCUUAUACUUUGAAACUUUUCAAGGUAUUAUAAUUAUACUUAAACUUGUAGGCAUAACCAUAUUUACUGAACCACUAGUAAAUCAUGACGAAUAGCCUAUAUCAUUCUUUGUGGUGGAUCUGGCUUGUACACAUCAAUGUGCAUUAGAUCCUUAAGCCUUUCACUUGACUCACAUACAUAUGUGAACAAGAAAUUAGUCUUAAUUUCUCAAAGAUGAAGAUUCUCAUACAUCACACAAUACAAGUCGCAUGAUUCUAAGUUUCUAUCCAAUUGAAACCUGGGUGAUGAGAAUCUUUCCUUAUUUGGUAAAUUUCUAACACUACCAUAAACGAUAUUACUAAGAAUCAAAUCCACUUUCAAUAUUGCUCAAAAUAUAUAAACACCAAUUUUUACAAAUGCCAUUGCAAGGAAAUAUAAAUAAAACAAAAUCAAAAUUUUUCUUUAUUUAUAAAAAUGCGGAAAACUUGUCCUUACAAUGCAAAUUCAUAUGAAAACUAUGUUUCUAAAUAUUCCUAAGCAAUCUAUCAUAAAUACUAAGCAGGAGCUCAAGAAUCUGAUCAUCGAACCAUGUAAUUGAAAUCCAUCUAUUCGCGACCAGACUCAACUCACUCUUCCUUUAAGCUUCCUUUCUUUUCUUCGAUCAUACAAAACAUCAAAAUGCAAUCUUAUCACGUCAUGUAUUAAGAAUCUAUAAACAUGAACUUAAUAGAGUUAGAUAACAUAAUUACUUGAAGUAGAGUCAUACAUUCUGACUUUACUAUCCUUGAGAUCUUUCAGGUAGAUAUGGCAGCUUCGCAUCCAAUGCCCCUUCUCUUGGCAAUAGAAACAAACAAAUUCUUUCGGAAUGGUACAUGAGACUAUCUCAGACCCAGCCGUUCUCUUUACCAUUUGGUCAAACAGUUUGACCUUGGUCGAUCCCUUUCCAUUGGGAAGAGAAAACUUUUUUGGAGUUCCAAUGUUGCCAUUGUCAAUGUCCAUGAAAGUUUGGGAAGUAUAUCUUCCAAUCGAAUUUGCUUUACCAGUGCACCAUAUCAUUGUUGAUUCAACAGCAAUAAGCAAAUAUGUAAGAUCAAUAAGGGUCACGUCAUGAUCUGUCAUAUAGUAGUCUUUAACAAACUGGCCAUACGACUCGGGAAGUGACUGAAGAACCAAGUCAACAGCCAACUUCCUUGGGAAAAUAACACCCAACAUUCCCAACCUGUCAAUGCAUGUCUUGAACCCAAAAUAGGUCAAACUGGGGAUUUAUGACCUACUCUCCAUGCAUGACAUCAAAACUUGACUAUAGGCCAGAUCCAAGGCUUUACAAGGUCACCUAGACCUAGAUAUUCAUAAAGUUGCUAACUUUAUGAGAUCUAAACAUCCCCUCACUCAAGAACAACAAGUAAAAGGGAAAAAACUCAAGAUCUAGAAACAUAGAGGAAUAAAAAUCGGAUAUUGGAUACUUACAAAGGUCCAGAAGAGUACCAAACUGAAAGAUGAGGGUUUGCUUGUUGGAUCCUUGCUUCCUUCUUCUUUGGCUCCAAAAACACCACACUAGAUCACAAAUGAGAGGGAAAGAUGAUUCGGGUUCUCAAGAGUUAAUAUGGGGAUUGGAGGGUGAUAAAAGACCAGCCCUUGGGACUUAAGGAGAUUAUAUAGGGUACAAAACCCUAAAAUUUAGGGUUUUCUCAACCAGCUGCCAACACGCCGUGUUGCCCAUCAACACACCGUGUUGGCUAAUAAAAACGCGCAGCCCAGAAGUUCUCAACAAGUUGUGGUGAGGCUUCACCACGUCGUGUUCAAAAGGGAAAUCAUGCAUAAAUGGAAUAAAUCUCAUACCUGGAAAUUGGGAUGUUAUAAUUUUUAUAUAAACAGUUUCAUAUAAACAUUGAUACGUACCUAGAAAAUCCUCAUGUACUCACCUUGCUAGUUAGUGAAAAGUAUCUUCUACUCUAAUCUCCAAUUAUGUGCCAUCUCUAUUCUCAAUCACUUGUCCAAACCUGUUUGGACAACAUACCAAGUUUCUCAGAACUUGUCCCAAUUUACUGAAAACUUAACCAUAAUACAUAUCACAGUGAUCAUUUUUCUGCUCACUAACCGACUUGGUAAAUACUUGUUAUCAAACUCAUCUAAUAGGAUCUUACAUUUAGUAAACAGAUUAACCUUGUAACAUGUUAGUAAAAAUCUCACAUUUUAGACAUUUUUGUAAACUAGGGUUUAUAACCUUCACUAGCAAAAUCAAGAAUUCCUCCACAAAAUUCAUCUGUCAAACUUACCAUUAAGUUCAUAAUAGCACCAUAUCAUGAACCCCAAUAAUUACUUCGGGUCUUAACAACCCUUCAUGAUCUAUGCUAUGUAAACACAAUUAUGUACUAAUAGUCGAGAUAAUACCUUCACUCACUCAACGAUCGUACCAUGGUAAACAGUAUCGUUAUGCACUUCCUCUAACUACGAGUCAUCACCCGAAUGUUCGGAAAUCUUGAUCGGAAAAAUGUAUAACCGAAGAAACUGUUUCAACUACUUAUACCCCGUCGGAACACGCACAUACACGCUGGGUCAGUUAUGUGGAUGUGUCGCGUCCACAUGUCCAACAUAGAAUCUGCUUCGUGUCCCAACUUUCACUACAUGUCACUUACCUUGCAACACAUUUCUGAUGACUCACAAUUAUCGACGCGUCGAGCUUCUAAACAGUACGCGCCAUAUAAAUGCUUUAUGUGUCGUGCGUAAAAAGUCAUGCACCGCGUUUCCUCAAAUAUUGACUUUUUUAUUUUACUAAAUAACAUUCUACUUCCUUAUUUGUCAUUCCCACUUAGAGUAUAAGAAAUACUUAAAUUUUGGGUCGUUACAUAAGCCCCCUUAGGGGGGGGGAAUGGUAAAGGAUUUGUUAGCCAUAAUAAGUGCCCCCCUUAGCCCGGGGUAGGGGGAGGGUUGAACCAAUUUUUCACAAUAAUCCCCCAGGGGAAGUGACCAGUUCUCAGAGUUGUAAUACCUAAAACAGCCCCUCAUGGGAAAUCAGUCUACGAUAUAGUGUUGGUACCAACAAUAUGUUUUAGGAACUCUAUUUCAUCAUUUUCAAGCUUUGAAAGGUUUUCUGUAGUUGGAGGUUCAUGUUGUGGUGUUGCUUCACCACCAAUAGUGGUUAUGGCAACAUUAUAUGCAACUUCUCUAACAACUACAUGGGGACCUUUAAUUACAGAACACCAUACAUCACUUCCUAACAUUUGAGAUAGUUACCAAUUAUGGUCUUUUUUUAUUGCUCAUAUUCUUCUAUAAUAAGAAUGGUGAUCUAGUCGAACAACCCAAGCUAUUGGAGAUGUUUACAACAUAAAUCAAUUGUAAGUUAGGAUUUACCAUUUGUUUUUUAGAAAACAUUUUGAGCAACGAUUGUAUAUAAAUGAUACUUCUAAGUUUUGCAUAAAUGCAAGAAACUAAUGUUUCUUACAACGAUAAUAUAAUGAAGAUAGAUAAUAAACACCCAAUCUAGGCUCUAAUACCAAAUGGUAAACCAUGAUAAUGAUUUAAGGAAAAUAUAUAGUGCAUAUUGUAAAUNNNNNNNNNNNNNNNNNNNNNNNNNNNNNNNNNNNNNNNNNNNNNNNNNNNNNNNNNNNNNNNNNNNNNNNNNNNNNNNNNNNNNNNNNNNNNNNNNNNNNNNNNNNNNNNNNNNNNNNNNNNNNNNNNNNNNNNNNNNNNNNNNNNNNNNNNNNNNNNNNNNNNNNNNNNNNNNNNNNNNNNNNNNNNNNNNNNNNNNNNNNNNNNNNNNNNNNNNNNNNNNNNNNNNNNNNNNNNNNNNNNNNNNNNNNNNNNNNNNNNNNNNNNNNNNNNNNNNNNNNNNNNNNNNNNNNNNNNNNNNNNNNNNNNNNNNNNNNNNNNNNNNNAUAUAUAUACAUUGUAUGAGAAGAACUUAAAGUAUAUAAAUGAAACUCAGUAAUAAAGAAAAGAACAUUCCAUAUAACAAUGGAAGUGUUCUUAGAAAGGUGUAAGGGAAGACAUGAUGUCAAUCUUAUAAAUAGAUGUUGCCACAAGAUCGACUAAUAUACAUUACAAUAGAUAAUAACAAAACAUAUUUGUCAUUACACAAAACACAAAUACAUAGAAUACAAAGUCAACUUCUCGAAACGAUCUUAUGGGGUCACCAAUCUUUAGUGGCGAGUCUAUAAUAGAAAACCAUAUGGUUCAUUAAUUUUUGUAUAUGAAAUUUUCUACACAAAUUCAAAGAUUUUAUUAGUAAGGUAGAUCCUAAAUCUUUUUCUAAGGUAGGUCACAAAAAAUUUUCUAUAGAAAGUUUACAUAAAUUAGAAAAAUUAGGUGGCUCAUUAAACCCACCUUAUUUAUACAUAGCCUCGUCACUGCUAAUCUUCUUUGCACAUUGCUCUCCGAAGGGCUUCAUCUCUUCAAAUGGCUAUUCAUGUGGAUGACACUUUUGGGUUCCAACAUGUAUUAAUAAACAAUUCCUAACUCUCUAACUCUAUUUUUUUGAACACUUUUUUGAGUUAACACCCAUAACUUGAACGUCAGAGCAUAAUCAUGAACCAUAUCCCGAAUUAUUGACCAUAGUCUACCUGUGUGAUCAAUAUGUACCAAAGAAUCAAGUUAUUCCAUGAAGAUCCUAUAUUCUUGCUACAUACUCUUUCACCUUCAAUCCUUUCUAGGCCUUGGUUGCAUCAAUUACCAUGUUUUAUACACAAGAUUAAAUGUAUAUUUGUGUAAGUAUAUUUAUUUAUAUUUUUUAUAAUUUAUGUCAAAAAAUAAUCUUUGAUACAAAUUAUGAAUGUACUACUAGUAAGAAAUCAACUUUAUUGCAUAGAUUGGUAAAAGAUUUAUAAAAAUUAUAUACGCUUACACAAAUAGAAUUGAUAAACCGGUUUAUAUUAUAUUUUUGAAAAGUUAAAUGAGCUAUUAUGUAUUUUUGAAUUGUUGAAGGGGGUUAUUCUGUACUUUUCAAAAGUUGCUUCUGUUUUGUCAUACUCACCUAUUUUGUGACAAGUACUGAGUCGGGAGUUAAAAACCCUGUACGAACGUCGUGUAUCGCUCUCUCUCAACCUCCUCGCACUCAUCCCUCACCUAUUUUUCCCAUAAUACUUCACCCUCGCAGCUCGGAAGAUGAAACCUGAAACCAAAAUCAAGCCACAGAGGAGCAUGAUAAAUUCGGAAUUCUGAAUUCGAAGUUAUAGGUAUGUAUGCUAACACCGGUCCCCCAUUUUUGCAUAAUUUCCCGAUUUUGAACAUGUUAACCAUAUAAAAGGUACUUGGGCAUAGGAUAACUUUUGGACAUUUUCUCCGGUUGUCAAUUUUUAGGAUGCAUAUUUAAUUGUAAUCGAAUAUCGUGUUAUUCUCCAUCAAUGCCUUCUAUUUAAUACACAUAUGCUAUGCAUCGACUCAUUCAUCAUUUCUUCAUAUGAAUGCUUAUUUUCCCACUCAAAUUGAAGAUCGGUUUAGUUAUCAGGUGGUUGUUUUACCACAUGUGGAAAUUGUUUUUGGAAUUUUAUUCAAUUAAACCUCCUUCUUGGAGGUGUUCAAGGUAUAAAGGGGCACUGCAUAAAGGAGGACGAAAAAAAAUAUUCUUUUUAGGGCCCAUACUCUGGAAAUUUCCUUUAGUUUCUUCACUUUAAACAUUUUCUGCGUGUAAUUGUAAAACCCUAAACCUAAGUAGAGUGGUGUAUCCCUAUCGAAAAAAGUCUACUUAGCUUUUGAAAGUUCAGCCUAAUAUAUAAACCCUAUAGUAUAUCUUUAUUAACUUUAUUUGUAUGAACUGAAAUAGCUUUUGUUAAUUUUGUUGUAGAAAUCCCCUUGAGACUUGAUAGUCAAAGAAAGACUAUGCUGUGAAGCCUGUGAUGAAGUUUGAUUCUACCAUGGUGCAUUUGUUAUGAGCAAUAUGUUAAGUUUUAGUUAAGUGUGUUAAUUAUUAAGCUCUAUAUCUUCAUUUUUGUGGCAAUAUGGAAAAUCGAGAGGCAAAUGGAUCAUGUUUUUGGUUGGAGGAGACUAAUGAUCAUGAGCAAACACCAAUCCCCAUGAAGCAUAAAAGAAAAGUAAAGGCAAAACCAGAGUUUGUUGGAUGGGGUUCCAAAUCUUUAAUUGAGUUUCUCCAAUCAAUUGGCAAAGACACUGAUGAACAGCUCUCUGAGAGAGAUGUGAAUGCCAUUAUAAUUGAAUAUGUGCACACAUUAAAUCUUUUCCACCAAACAAAAAAGAAAAAAGUUGUAUGUGAUGAAAGGCUUCGAUCUCUUUUCGGAAAGAAAUCAAUACCUCGAAUCAAAAUCCAAGAUUUGCUAAAAUCCCAUUUUGCUGAUAAUCAUCAAUCCUCUGAAGAUGAUUAUUUGUAUAGUUCAGAUGAAUAUGAAGAUUCCAAUAUAACAUACAAGAAACAGAAGGUGUCAGAUUUAGAGAAGAAACCUCAAGCUUCCUCUCAAAAGAAAAAAACACCCAUGAGCUCUUUUGCAGCUAUUAUCCCCGAAAACAUAAAGCUUUUAUAUUUAAAAAAGAGUUUAAUUCAAGAGCUCAUUAAACACCCCGAGAGUUUUGAAGAAAAACUAUUGGGUAGUUACAUAAGGAUAAAAUGUGACCCAAAUGAUUACUCUCAAAAAAACUCCCAUCAACUUCUUCCCAUUACAGGGGUAAAAUUGGUAACUGGAAAUACUGAUGAACAACAAGACAUUCUCCUUCAAGUUCCAAACAUGGUGAAAGACAUAACUAUAAACAUGUUGUCUGAUCAUGACUUUUCUAAGGUAGUUAACAUUUCUUACAUGAUUCAGUUUCAUCUUCAUUAUUUAAUUAUUUCAUCUUUUUCAGGAAGAAUGUGAUGAUUUAUGUCAAAAAGUUAAGGAUGGGUUGCUAAAGAGACCCACUGUUGUAAGUUUUUUGUUUUUUCUUCUCUGUAAAUUAUUAUUAUUAAUUACUUUUUAAUCCGAGUUUAUUGGCUUCCUUUGUAGGUGGAAGUUGAGAAAAAGGCACAGCUUUUACAUGAGGAUAUAAUAAAACAUGUAAGUAAUACUCACUUGUUAUGAAAAAUACAAGAAAUAGCAUCACAUUUAUAAAAUUUACCAUUUUAUAGUAAUUAAAUGACAUUGCUAUAAUUAAUUUACAGUGGCUUCCUAGAGAACUAAGCUAUCUACAAAACCUCAUAGAUCGUGCAAAUGAGAAGGGGUGGCGUAGGGAAUAUCCUUUUUUAUGAUGUACAAAAAUGGCAUUUUACAUGAUUGAAUUUGAGGUUCCUGUUUAUAUUUAUUAUUGAAUAAAAUAAUUUAGAUACUUGGGAAACCUUUACUUGCUUCAGCUCUUACAUUGUAUGAGUAUUUAGAAAGAAGGAAUCUGCUUCAAAAACCUUCUGAACAGUCAAAGUUGUUGACCGAGGUCCCAAAGGUGACUCCAGAUGUACUAGAUCCACAAGAUAUACAAGACUUAUGUAGUCCAGAUGCUGCAGGUAUGUAUUUUCAGAAGGGUAAAUCCGUCAUUUACUCAUUCAAUCCAAAAGGAAACUAUUUGUUUCUACAACACUUACUCUACACAAACAUCAUGUAUUGUAUCCUUACAACACUUAAAAAGAAGAAGGGUAAAACCGUCAUUUUCUUACCAGCCUGUUUGUCCUCCUUUGUUUUUUCUUCCAUUUCCCAAAGUUUGCUGUUGUUUCUCAAAUUAUACAAAAGGGUAAAAUGGUCAUUUACUUGCAUUCAGUCCACAAAAGAAACAAACCCUUAAUCUGGUAAUUUUUCAAAGUACAAUGUUGUAGUAAAAAUGAAAGUACAUUGCUAUUUAUUGCAUUCACCUGUUUUUUAAGGGUUAAUCUCAUAUAAGACCUUAUAUUUUGUGUUUUUCCGGAUUUAACCUCGACUUUAUUUUUUUUCCAGAAAAAGACCUUGUAUUUUUUCGAUCUGAUCCUUUUAGUCAUUUUUUUUCCGAAAUAACUUAGGGUUUUUUCCGGAAAAAACUAAAAAAGUUGAGGGUUUUUUCAGAAACAAUUAACAGGUUGAGGGUUUUUUUAGGAAAAAUGAUAAAAUACAAGGGUUUUUUCAGGAAACAAAUAAAGUUGAGGUUUAAUCUGGAAAAAAUACAAAAUAUAAGGUCUUUUAUGAUAUUAACCCUUUUUUUAAUCAUCAUUUAUCCAACCAUUUGUACAGACGCAGAACAAGUGGUGGAUCUUGAUGAAGCUAAUGAAGGCAACCAACAGUCGGUGGAGAACAGGGGUAUUAAAGUAAUUUCACAUGUAAAUUCAGGAGAAAAAGUAACCACAGGAGGUUUCGAGUGGGUUGAAUCCGUGAAGAUUUGUGACAUCAAAAGUCCAAGUGACACAUUGGUGGAAUUAAACAACAACGUGACAAAUGUGAUUGAGCUAAGUGAUGAUGAAGAUGAUGAUAAUAAUAAUAAUAAUAAUAAUAAUAAUAAUAAUAAUAAUAAUAAUAAUAAUAUUAAGACACAAGGAAAUAUAAUACAAGAGGAAAAUGUGUGUGAUGUAUCCCUUCAACAAUGGUUUUAUUUGGAUCCACAAGGAAAAAUCCAAGGCCC
RNAcentral lists this long non-coding RNA (51843 nucleotides) under Lactuca sativa (garden lettuce). RNAcentral's name for it is "long non-coding RNA (LSAT_LNC001468)". The stretch from base 38721 to 38827 matches the Rfam family "Plant small nucleolar RNA R71". Lineage: Eukaryota; Viridiplantae; Streptophyta; Magnoliopsida; Asterales; Asteraceae. The record is from RNAcentral.